Molecule: long non-coding RNA, 58301 nt
Filed under: Vitis vinifera (wine grape)
Lineage: Eukaryota; Viridiplantae; Streptophyta; Magnoliopsida; Vitales; Vitaceae
Description: long non-coding RNA (VVIN_LNC000266)
Source: RNAcentral
AUGCUACAUGAAGUUCAGACCUUGGCCAAACAGCUCGUACCUCAACAACUCCAGGACAAGAUUUUAUCAGGAAUUGGAAGGCUUCUUGGGGACCCCUCCUCUCAGAUGACUCUUGUCAUUGAUGAAUACAACGGCUACACCAUGAAUCAAAUCUUUGAGGCUUCUCAAAUCUACCUGCAGACCAAGAUCAGCCCAGCAGUAAGUAGGCUCAGGGUUUCCCGAUCUCCAAGAGAGAAGAACCUCUUGGUCACCAUCAGCAACGGUGAAAAGGUUAUUGAUGUAUUUGAGGGAAUUCAACUCAAAUGGGAAAUGGUUUCCAGUACUGAAAAGGUCAUGGGUGGAGACAAGGGCGAACGUAGAUCAAUUGAGCUCAGUUUCCUUAAGAAAAACAUGGAGAAGGUAUUGAGCUCUUACUUGCCAUAUGUGGUGGAGAGAUCAGAAUCGAUAAAAGAAGAAAACAAGGUGGUGAAGCUCUAUUCCCUAGGGAACUUCCAAGGAGGAGCCAUGGUUGGUGGGGGAGCAUGGGGGUCCAUCAAUCUCGACCACCCCUCAACUUUUGAAACAUUGGCCAUGGAUUUGAAGCUCAAGGAGGACUUGAUAAAAGACUUGGACAGAUUUGUAAGGAGGAGGAAGUUCUAUAAAAGAGUUGGUAAGGCAUGGAAAAGAGGGUAUUUGUUGUAUGGCCCUCCAGGCACAGGCAAGACAAGCUUGAUUGCAGCCAUGGCCAACUAUCUGAAAUUUGAUGUCUAUGAUUUAGAGCUCACAAGUCUCCAGAGGAACUCACAGCUUAGAAAGCUCUUAGUCUCCACCAAGAACAGAUCAAUACUUGUGAUUGAGGACAUCGAUUGCAGCACUGAAUUACAAGACAGACAAGCUGGAAGAUACAACCAACCUACCACUCAGGUCAGUUUACAGAGGCAUAUAAUUACCCUAUAAUACAUAAAAUUAGAAAUUCCUCUCGCCCCUUGUAAUAAAUUGUUGUUUUUUUGCUUAUUGACUGACAGCUGACACUAUCUGGGCUGCUUAAUUUCAUUGAUGGGCUGUGGUCAAGCUGUGGGGAUGAGAGGAUAAUAGUGUUCACAACAAAUCACAAAGACAGGAUAGAUCCUGCAUUGCUGAGACCAGGGCGCAUGGAUAUGCACAUCCACAUGUCCUACUGCACUCCCUAUGGAUUUAAGACCCUGGCUUCCAACUACCUUGGAGUAAGCAACCACAGACUGUUCACUGAAAUCGAAAGGCUGAUAACAGAGGUGGAGGUGACCCCAGCCGAGAUUGCAGAAGAGCUCAUGAAAAGUGAGGAAGCUGAUGUGGCCCUUGAAGGUCUCAUCGAGUUCCUCAAGAGGGCCAAGAUUGCAGAAAAUAAAUCAAAUGGUGAGGGAAAAGAAGUUGAUGAACAAGGAACAGAAAGGCGGGAUGUUGUUGAGAGUGAAAAGGUAGUAGAAACAAAGAGGCAGAAAGAAGAUAGUGAAUGGAGAACUAGAGAUUUCUGAUUUUAUGCCAUGCGCAUACUCGUUUUCUGUUGAAGAAAACCAAUCCUGCCUUCUCUGAGGCCUGUAAAACCAUGAACUUCAAAUAGAACCCAUUGAAAUUCAAUGGGGAUGGAGGGCACUUUCCACGAUUCACCCAGGACAGGUAAGUACAUAAAAUGCGGCUGAAACUUUCAUAUAUAUAUUAUCUGGUUUGAGUCUCUUUCUUUUCCUCUCCGAUGUGGGAUUUGUAGCAGUUGCUGAUGAACUUGAAAGAGACAUGGGUAAAAUAAUUAUAAUAAUAACUCUUUUGAAGUUUACAAUACAAUUUAAAUAUAAAUAUUUUUUUCCUUCAAAAAGCACUUUAACAUUACACCGACCUAAAGAUCUCAGAAAAAAUAUCCCUAAUAAAAGAGCAUCACACUGCAUGUUUUCUUAAAAAAGUUAGAAUUAUUUUGUUGAUGUAAGGAUUAUUUUAUUUUAUUUUAGUUAAAUUUCAAAAGAAAAAGAGGAAAAUAGCUUCCAGUUUUGAAAACCAUAACGUUAAUUAAAUGAUUGCUUCUCAUAUAUAUUUCUUUUUCUUUGGAAAAAGUGCUUUUAAAGUGACAUGACAAUAAAAAAAACUAUUGGAGGAGAAUAUUCUAGUCAGAAAAAGUCAUAUUCAGCUCCUUAAAAUGCGAUAUUAAUUCAUUCAAAUUUAAAAUUAAUAAAUGUUUACUAAAUAUUACUAAAAAUGUUUACUUUUAGAGAAAUAUUACUAAAAAUGCCAUUUAAACCCCUAAAAAUGGUUUUUAAAGUUGAGUAUUUUCUUUAACUAAUUGAUAUUGUAAAUAUAUAAAUAAUUUUUACAUUCACACUUUAUAAAAGAUAAAAAUGUUUCAUUUUGAAAAUUUUAUGCAUUAGUUUUAAUUUUUUCAAAUGAAGGAUUACUUUGUAAAUAUUUCUAAAUAUGUUUGAUUUCAAUAAUUGAUAAAUUAUAUGACCAAAAUAUCAUAAAUUGGUAAAUAUCAAUUAUUGGAUUUUAUGAAGAUAAAAUUUAUGAUAUCAAAUAGUAAUGCAUUAUACUUAGAAAUAGAUGAUGUAUUUUUUCUAUUUAAAAUGUAAUUAAUAAUAUAAAAAAUUAAUUAAUAAUGAUAUAUUUAUGAUAAUUUUUUGUUUAAAAAUAUUUAUAAUUUUAUUUAAAAUUCAAUUUUAUUUUAUAUUUAAUAAUUAUAUAAAAGAUUAAAAAAAAUUAAAAGUAAAUCAAAUAUAAUUUAUUUAUAAAAAUUUAUUAAUUUUCACUAUUUUACUUAUUUUACAUAUAUAUAUAUUUAUAUAUAUUGGGAGUGAAACUCGCUUCUUCUCUCAUUCUUCUUCUUUCCUUUGUUUCUCUUCAUUUCCUAUUCUCUAUUCCUCUUUCCUUCUUGUCUUCGUUUCUCUUCCAACAUCCAAACUUUUAUUCACAAAGGUUGAACUGUUUCUCUCUUCUAAAAUCAAAACAUUACUCAUUGAGGCCAAAAUCCAAAUUGUAGUUGUUGUAAAGAUUAUUUGUUAGGGUUUCAGUUUUUGUUUUAAUUUUUCUAUUCUUUUUCAUUUUUUUGCAUUUUGUUCUUUUGUGUUAUUGUUUAUGUUUUGUUUUGUUUAUGGGAAAUCCUAGAAUUUAUGGAGGUUUUGGCUUUGAAAUGCAUCUGAAAAAUCAUAUGGGAUAAAUCCUGAAAUAUCCGAAAAAUGACCAAAAAGAAAAAAAUUUGUCAAAUAAUGUUGAAUUUUUGGUUGAAAUUUUGUUAGACCAAUUUUUUUUUUUUUUUUUUUCCCAUUUUGUGAUUUUCCCUCAUAUGUGAAGAAUUUUUCUUCACGGUGAAGAGAUAAGAACACCCAAGAACACUGAUUGAAAAAUAAUGUCUUUUUUUUUUCUUCUUAGAAUAGUGGCAAAAACACGGAAAACACCAUUUUUUUUGUUCUCUAAAAAUCGAGCUUUAGAAAACACGGAGAACACAUGGGAACAAAAAACACUCUCUUAUCAAACAUGUUUUAUGUAUUUUGUAUUCUCAAAAACAAAAAACUGUUUUUGAAAACACUAACCAAACAAGCCUUGAAUUUCCAAACACCCUUAAGAGCGUCUGAAUUAUAUCUCCAACCACUUUUAAAAGCAUGCCACUUUAUACCUACAAAUGCUGUGUAAUAUAUAUAUUUUUUUUUUUCCUUCAAUUUUUCUUUUCACAUUUUCAAAUGUUUUCACUUUUACAUCACUUUUAAAUUAUUUCUAAAUACUUUUAACUAUUCUUAUAAUAAGUAUUUGUCAAAAUUUGCAUAAAUAAUAUGCACUAAAUUAUAUUUAUACGUAACAAACAUAAUAUUAGAGUAUGAGAAGAAAAAUCAAUAACCCAAAUCAUCAAAUCUAAAAAAAAAUGACAAGAAUAAGGUUUAAUUCUAUGUGAAUCUCACUUUAAUAAAAUUUAUGUGACCCAAAUAUCCAUAUGCAAGACAAAACUAUAAAAUGAUCUCAUAAGAAUAAAGUUUAAUUCUAUAUGAAUCUUACUUUAAUAAAAUUUGUAGGCCUUUUUUUAUGCUAGUUUCCUCUAAUAUGAUAAGAAUAGGAUUUAAUUCUAUAUGAAUCUUCUUCAAUAAUUCUAAUAUCCAUAUCUCCUUCUAUAUCUAAAAUCAAUAUAAUUCUAAUAUGAAAAUACAAAAAAAGAAACAAAAAAUUUCUAAAAAGAUGUUAGAAGAAUAAUGUUUAAUUCUUUGUGAAUCUCACUUUAAUUAAAUUUAUAGGAAUUUUUUUCCCUUUUUUUUUUUUUGUUUUUAACUUAGUUUCUUCUCAUGUCCCUAAUGAAUACCACCUAAGUCUCCAAAUCUAAUAGGAAAUCUAGAAAGAUUUUACAAGAAUAAAGUUUAAUCCCGUGUGGGUCUCACUUUAAUUAAAUUUAUAGGAUUUUUUUUUUAUAGUCUAGUUUGCUCUUAUUUCUCUAAUAAAUCAAUCCCACUUAAAUCUUCAAAUCUAGAAUGAUUUUACAAAAAUAAGACUUAAUUCUAUGUAAAUCUAAAUUUAAUAAAAUUUAUAAAAUUAUUUUUUAUCUUCUUUUUUUCUUAUAUCUUAAAUUAAUAUCACCUAAAUCUCUAAACCUAAGAGAGACUGUGAUAUGCUCCACUGGAUAUGGGAGAAAGGUUCUAAUCCUAUAUAAGUACAGGUUCUAUUAAUCAUGUAAAUAUAUUUUAAAAUUAUAAUGACCAUUUAGAAAAAAUGAAAAAGAGAAAAAAAUUUCAAUUAAAUUAUUUGUAAAUAAAACUUAAACAUAAUAUAAUUUAGAUAAAAGUUUUAAUUAACAUUUGUAAAAGAAACUUAACUCCAAAAACAAAAACAAAAACAAAAAAUUCAAGUGAAUAUUCUAAAAUCAUUAAACAUUCCAAAACAAGGCUCACAAGAAAUCACAACAGAACUUAGCCCUAGCUUAUCCACAUGCCAAAGACCAUUUACACAUUAAAUCCUUAGAUAUUUCAAAAAAAAAAAAAAGGCUCUUAAUAAAACAUAACUGAAUUUAACCAUAGUUCAGUCACUACAAAAAUCAAUUUGUAUUUAAUUUCUAAAUGUUCUAAAAAUUGCUUAAAAUAAAACCAAUAGAACUUAAUCUUUGUUUAGUUAUACUUCAAACACUACUUAAGUUAAUAAUAUAUUUAGUUACUAUAUAUUCAUUUAUUUAGUUACUAACAAGAAAUAGUUUUUUUUUCUUUUUUCCUACUUAAAUGUUUUUUGGAUUUCAACAUGGUAUCAAAGUAAAAUUGAUUUUUGAUGGAACAUUUGGUUUAUGAUCUUAUUUGAGAGAGUUUAAUAUCAUACAUUGUUUUCACAAAUCUAACUAUCAUACACCGCAUGCAUCGACUCAUAACAUUUGUUUUCUUCUCUUUUUCCUUGGUGGUUUUAAUUUCAUUUCUUCUACUUCUUUAAGCAUAAACAUUUCUUUUUUAGUCAUGUUUUCUUCCUUAAGCAUAUAUCUUUUUUAUUCUUGUUAAGUCUCAUAAUGUCUCAAUCUGUACUCAUUCACAUUGAUCAUUUAUUGGAUGAUAUAUAUAGUUUUCCUACAGAUAUUGGUAUUUUGGUUCUUGAUUAUGAAGUUAUUUCCUCUCUUCCUACAACUAAUCUUGCAUCUUUGAGAUUAUGGAUCCUCUUUUGUCACGUUCUUCUCGACAUCUUUCAAGUUAUGACCAAGGAACUUUCUACCUUGUAUAAAACUGAUGCUUGGGAUUUGGUACACUUACCACCUACAUAGUAUGGAUUAUGAGGAGACUUUUAUUCCUGUUACAAAGACGACUAUUAUUCUUACUCUUAUUACUGUUACUACUCUUUUUUCUCUCACUCAGAUGUAUUGUGACAACAAGAAUGUUAUUCAAAUUGCUCACAACUCUAUCUUUUAUAAAAUGACCAAGCAUAUUGAGACUGAUUAUCACCUUACUCAUCAUCACCUUCAACAUACAACUCUCACUUUACCUUUUCCUUCUCUCAAUUAGCAAACUCUUCAUGUUUCUUACGGCCACAACAUGAGUUUGUGAGGAUGUUAAAAGUUAUUUAUACAUUUAGUUAUUAUAUUAAAAUUAUAUAUUUAUUUAUUUAGUUAUUAUAUUAUAAUUAUUUUCCUUUUUUUUAGGAAAGUAAAGUAAAUUAGUCUUUAAUUUCUUUUAUUAAAUCUAUUUAAAUUCUAAUGAUGUUGUAGAAUUUGUAAUAAAAAAUUCUAAUUUUUUUUCUUUUCUUUUCUUUCUUCCUUUGAAUCUAUUUUGGAUUUCAACAUGCAGCACAUCUAAUGAAUUUUUAGCUAAAAUAGUCAAAAUACGUAAAGGACAAAAAUCACAAAAAUGGGGCCAAAUAUGUGACGAACAACAAAUUGAAAUCCUAAAUAUUAUCAAAAUUUUGUUUAAUUAUCUUUUCAUCAUAUUUUAGAAAUUUUUCCAUUUAACGGUUAGUGUUUUACCUUUUAAGUCUAUCUAUUUCAUGCUUCUAGUUUCAUAAAGAAAAAGAAAAAAAAAACCCAAAAAAAAAAAUUCUAUUUUUCAGAUUUUAUUUUUCUCUCCCCUUUUGACUUUUUAUAUAACACAAUCUUUUGAAUUUGACCUAUAAUUUUAUACCAAAACUAUUGAAUUUCUUAAUUUUAUUAAGAAAGACACACUGAAUAACAUUCAUAAUGGGACUCUUAAAUUAUAAAAGAUUAUCAAACAAUAAUAACAAAUUUUAUUGAUGGAUACAACAACAUUCAUUUUUAUUUAUUUGUUUACUGUUUUUUCAAAACGUUUUCUUUAUUGUUAACCAUGAAGGUACGAGCCAUUCAUUCAGCACCAACACUUAAGCCAAUCCAAAUUUGACUUAACCAAUUAGACCCAAAGUUGAAAAAUUAAGGUUAGUUUCAGUUCUGAUUAAGCACAUCAAAUUAAGGGGGUUAAGUUGAAUUUAGGUAAAACAUUUCUUAACUCAAACCGGGUGAAGUUGGCCCAAACUAAAAUUAACAAAAACUAGUAAAGCCAUGUCUAAGAUUUGAUUUUAGAACCCUCAGGAUCCAUCGUUACCUUGAAAUUUAAUUAAAUAUCCUUUUUACAAUUCUCAUUUGUUAUUUUCACUCAUCUUUCGUUUGAAUCAAAAUAAGGGAGAUAAUUACUUGACCAAUUUAUAAAAAUAUUUUAUAAAAUAAAUUUUACUCACCUCAUCAAACGUUGAGGCUGAAUGCACUUAAAGAGUGUUUGUUUUUUUUACCUUUUUAUUGAAAACGUUGCUUUCGGUCUUUAGGAUGUUCGUUUUUCUAAUUUUUUAUGACUUACUAUAAAUUUUUUAUUAAACAAAAAAAACCAAAAUAUUUAAUUUAAAAAAAAAAAAAAAAAGUAACAUGUUAAUUUUUCUUUACAUUUUAAUACUUAAUAAAAAUAAAAUAUUAUAAAAAUAAACAACAUAAUACCUAACACUAUUAAACAUUUUUUAAUUCUAAGUUCUAUUUAGAAUUAAUUAAGAAAAACAAACAAAGAAACAAACAUCAUCUUAAUCAUCAUAAAUUUACUUCUUAUUUUAAAUAAAAUGGUAGAUGUGUGAAAAUAACUAAUAGGAAAAAAUUUUAAUAAAAUUUCAAAUUAAUUAUGGAUAAAUAUAAGUGAAAUUAAUUAUAUUUUAUAAUAUGGAAAUUUUGUUUUAAAACUAGAAUCACAAUUGAGUAUCAGAUGUUAGCCCCUUUUUAGCCAAGAAGGCCAAAGGAGAUCUUUUGUAUGGUAUUAAGGGAGGUUUUCAACCUGUGACGAUCACCAUGAUCUCAAACUUGCACUAAAAUCUACCCAAAUUUAAAAACAAAUUCUUAAACUUGUCUAUAUCUCAAUCAUCCUUAUCAUAAAUUCAUUUUAUUAAAGGUGUUUGAAUAAACCCGUCUCUAUCUUGUUUAUCCUUAUCACAAAUUCAUUCUAUUAAGAGUGGGUCAGUACUUGAAUAAACUUCUCCUAUUAUCAUCCCUAUUUAGGUGUUUCCAUCCCUCUAUUUACAUGUUUCUUUAAAUUCAUUUUACUUUUUUUUUAAAAGAAAAUAAUUUUAAAAUUUAUAAGUUUCUACUUAAUUUAAAUUAAAUGUGAUUUUUUCUUUUCCUUGGAAUCAAACAUAAAGUAAAACUCUUGAUUACAUUUCUAAAUUUUGAAGUUCCUUCCGAUACCUCAAAAGGGACAAAGCUCCUAAACCAUCAAACUUUGUUGUUGUCACUUGUCACAUUGGUGAAGCAUUUAAAUCAUCAUCAUCAUGCAAUAUUACUUUGUGGGUUUCCAUCUGGGCAUGUGAUUUAGCAAAAUAAAACUAAGAAUGGUUAAGGCCAAGUGAGAUUUAUAUUGGACAGUGAACUACAAGAUUUGGAUCACCAGUGGUUGUCACCCAAUUGCCUAGAUAUUUGGUUACUCUAUGGAAUCAAAAGAAGGAUAAUCACUCACAUCAACAUAUUCUGAUCAUUUUAUCGGUUUGACUUGUCAGAAACAAGAAUUUUGCAUCUAUGAUCUAUUCUCAAAGAAGGAUAAUCACUCACAUCAACAUAUUCUGAUCAUUUUAUGGGUUUGACUUGUCAGAAACAAGAAUUUUGCAUCUAUGAUCUAUUCUCAUUUUGUGUGGUAUAUAUUAUAUUUAAUUUCGUUGCCACCAAUGCUGAGGGUUCCAAAGAAGCUUUGUCCCACAGCUUGGUUCUAUAUAUGUGAAAAAGCAAGCUUUCAACACUAUAAAACCUACAAUUUCCUUCUACUCCUUCAUCCAAAUCCAAAGCAUGUUUUCUAUAGUAAGUAUGCCUUCAACAUCAUCGGUUUUAUCAGCAUACACCACCUUUGCUGCAUCAGCAAUGGUGGUUAAAACCAUGCUACAUGAAGUUCAGACCAUGGCCAAACAGCUCAUACCUCAACCACUCCAGGACAAGAUUUUAUCAGGAAUUGGAAGGCUUCUUGGGGAUCCCUCCUCUCAGAUGACUCUUGUCAUUGAUGAAUACAACGGCUACGCCAUGAAUCAAAUCUUUGAGGCUUCUGAAAUCUACCUGCAGACCAGGAUCAGCCCAGCAGUCAGUAGGCUCAGGGUUUCCCGAGCUCCAAGAGAGAAGGACCUCUUGAUCACCAUCAACAAGGGUGAAAAGGUUAUUGAUGUAUUUGAGGGAAUUCAACUCAAAUGGGAAAUGGUUUCCAGUACUGAAAAGGUCAUGGGUGGAGACAAGGGCGAACGUAGAUCAAUUGAGCUCAGUUUCCUUAAGAAAUACAUGGAGAAGGUAUUGAGCUCUUACUUGCCAUAUGUGGUGGAGAGAUCAGAAUCGAUAAAAGAAGAAAACAAGGUGGUGAAGCUCUAUUCCCUAGGGAACUUCCAAGGAGGAGCCAUGGUUGGUGGGGGAGCAUGGGGGUCCAUCAAUCUCGACCACCCCUCAACUUUUGAAACAUUGGCCAUGGAUUUGAAGCUCAAGGAGGACUUGAUAAAAGACUUGGACAGAUUUGUAAGGAGGAGGAAGUUCUAUAAAAGAGUUGGUAAGGCAUGGAAAAGAGGGUAUUUGUUGUAUGGCCCUCCAGGCACAGGCAAGACAAGCUUGAUUGCAGCCAUGGCCAACUAUCUGAAAUUUGAUGUCUAUGAUUUAGAGCUCACAAGUCUCCAGAGGAACUCACAGCUUAGAAAGCUCUUAGUCUCCACCAAGAACAGAUCAAUACUUGUGAUUGAGGACAUCGAUUGCAGCACUGAAUUACAAGACAGACAAGCUGGAAGAUACAACCAACCUACCACUCAGGUCAGUUUACAGAGACAUAUAAUCACCCUAUAAUACAUAAAAUUAGAAAUUCCUCUGGCCCCUUGUAAUAAAUUGUUGUUUUUUUGCUUAUUGACUGACAGCUAACACUAUCUGGGUUGCUUAAUUUCAUUGAUGGGCUGUGGUCAAGCUGUGGGGAUGAGAGGAUAAUAGUGUUCACAACAAAUCACAAAGACAGGAUAGAUCCUGCAUUGCUGAGACCAGGGCGCAUGGAUAUGCACAUCCACAUGUCCUACUGCACUCCCUAUGGAUUUAAGACCCUGGCUUCCAACUACCUUGGAGUAAGCAACCACAGACUGUUCACUGAAAUCGAAAGGCUGAUAACAGAGGUGGAGGUAACCCCAGCAGAGAUUGCAGAAGAGCUCAUGAAAAGUGAGGAAGCUGAUGUGGCCCUUGAAGGACUCAUCGCGUUCCUCAAGAGGGCCAAGAGUGCAGAAAAUAAAUCAAAUUGUCGAGGAAAGAAAGUUGAUGAACAAGGAAUAGAAAGGCAGGAUGUUGUUCAAAGUGGGAAGGUAGUUGAAGCAAAGAGGCAGAAGAUGAGUGGAGAACUAGAGGCUUGUGAUUUUAUGCCAUGCGCAUACUCGUUUCUAUGAAAAAGAAUCAAAAUUAAUACAGGCAAAAGAGGUACGACUCUCUGUAGAAGAAAACCAAUCCUGCCUACUCUGAGGCCUGUAAAAGUAUGAUUGAAUUUCAAUGGGGAUGGAGGGGCAGGUAAGUAUGUAAAAUGUGGUUAAAAUUUUCGUAUGUAUAAUCUGGUUUAAGUCUCUUUCUCUUUCUCUCCGAUGUGGGAUUUGUAGCAGACAUGGGUAAAAUAAUAAUAAUAAUAACUCUUUUAAAGUUUACAAUACAAUUUAAAUAUAAAUAUUUUUUUCCUUCAAAAAGCACUUUGACAUUAUACCGACAUAAAAAUCUUAGAAAGAAUAUCCUUAUUAAAAGAGCAUCAUGUUGUAUUUUUUUUAAAAAAUUUAGAAUUAUUUUGUUGAUGUAAGGAUUAUUUUAUUUUAUUUCAGUUAAAUAUCAAAAGAAAAAUAGGAAAAUAGCUUCCAGCUUUGAAAAGUGAAAACUAUAACUUUAAUUAAAUGAUUACUUCACAUUUUUUUUAUUUUUUUUCCUUCUUUGAAAAAAGUGCUUUUAAAAUGACAUGAGAAUAAAAAAUUAUUGGAGGAGAAUAUUUUAGUCAGAAAAAGUCAUAUUCAGCUCCUUAAAAUGCGAUGUUAAUUAACUCAAAUGAAAAAGGUCGAAAAGAGGAGCGACGCCCACCGUGGGGCUCGAACCCACGACCACAAGGUUAAGAGCCUUGCGCUCUACCGACUGAGCUAGACGGGCUUGUUUGGCUGUUUUCUGUAAGUAAUCUACAUGAAUAUAAUAUAUCAAGCAAGCCACAAAAACAAAUGAGAUGUCGCGUGACCCAUUGAAUCUUUUAGCUUCAAUUCCACGAGUGUUUUUGGCUAUGUUUGAAAAAAAGGUUUUAAAACAAUUCUUAGAAAAUAAGUAAAAAUAACUUGAAAUAAGGGCUAUUUUGGUAACUAUUUUUAAAAAUAAAUUUUUAUUUUCUAAAAUUAAAAAAUUAAAAAAAAAAAACAAAAAAAUACAUUUAACAACUAAAAAAUAAUAAAUAGAUUUUUACUCUUAAAAACAAAAAAUAAUGUGUUUUCAAAUAACAUAUUUUUACUAUUUUCAUUUAAUUUUAGAGGAUUAUUUUAAAAAAAUAAUUACACAAAUACAGAAAUUUGUUAAAAAUAAAGUAUAUAUAAAAAAAAAUGUUAAAAACAUUUCAAACUCUCAAACAAAUUUUUAUUGUACAAAACAUUAAAGAAUAUUUGUCAAAAACUAUUUUUAAAAAUUAUUUUUAAGAAUUGUUUUUUAAAACAAUUACCAAACAAAGUUAUUAUUUAAUUUUUGUUUUCUAAUGGUUAAAUAUGUUUUACAAUUUUUUAUUUUAGAAAAUAGAAAAUUAUCUAUUUUUUUGUUGUUAAAACUUAAAUAUGUUUUACUAUAUUUUAUUUUGAAGGAUAAAAAACUGUUUCAAAAAAGAAUUAUAAAAUAGUGUCUUGGUAACUAUUUUGUCAUAUUUUGUAAAACAAAAACAAAAAUACAUUUGAGAACCUAAAAUAUUAAUAAUUUUUAUAUCCAAUGCUUCAAUUUUAAAAAAAUAAGUAAAAAUAACUUAAAAUAAUUAAAAGAUAUUCAAAACAUUUUAUUUUAUGUUUUUAAGAGUAGAAAAUAAAUAAUUUUUUUAGCUUGACUAUGAAGAAAAAUAAAAACAAUUAGUCAAAAACUUGGGGUUCUUAGUUUUCAUGGCCGACAGAGAGUGCUCCAACAACACACGUGACAAAUGACCGAGAGAUCCACACUUUAAACCCCAUGAUGAAAGCCAAUAUACCAGGAAUAUUUAACCCCCACAAGCCAUUUUCAGAAUGGACUGCUCCUAUCUCUGUUCAUGGUGAGGGGAUUUUUCCUACUGUGAAAGGGCAGAAACUUCAAACAGGGAACAGAAAUCACCUGCUUAGCUUUCAAACGUGUGAAAGUUUUGUUUAGAGCCUCCUCAUAUAAAUCUAACAUACAAAAGGCUCUAACCACUGAAUUACAACAUUUUGUGAUACAUGUAUUCCUACCCAGAACAAACAAGGCGAGAGAAAGAUACAAAAAUCCAUAGAUUACAGGGGCCUGUACAUCUCUUCUUCUCUUUGAAAAACCAAAAAUAAAUAGCGUCCACGGGGACAGGACAAAAGCAAAAUACAAGAGAAAUUUACAACACUGACCAGAGAAAUACGUGACUUCAACACUGGUAAACCGAAUAGUUCUUGCUCUUCCACAAGUAAUUCCAAGCCUUUCCCACUUUUCUUCUUGAGAUCGAUUUACAAUAUGGCUUGGAUUCCAAUGGCUUUGUUUCCAGCGCUUUUGAUUCCAAUGGCUUUGAUUCAGGACCAGGCACAGCCUCGGUACUGCUUUCAGUAUGAUGAGGACUCCCAACAGGUGAUGGGUCUCGCUGCCGCUGCUCCCGAAACAGCAUCAGAAGUUUCUGAGCCUUUUCUUUCCCUCUCACGGUCCCAUUCACUGAUAUGGAAACCAAUGCAGGUAUCACCCCUUCUUGGAGGACCAUCUGACUGCAUUUCUCACUCCCAUUACAUAAGAUCAGAAGACAGACAACAGCUUGCUCCUGCUCAAUGGCCUCACCAACAUCCAGUAUCGUUGCCAACCCACUAAUAAGGCCAGGGGCUACCAUGAUUUCAUCUUUUCCUAAUUUAUUUGAAGCCAAGUUUACAAAGACAGCCAAGGUUUUUUCUGUCCAUGUGUUGUCAGCCGGGUCUGUGAGAAGGGAAUGGAGGCCGCUGAUAAUGCCAGCUGCAAGUAGGUUGGGGAUAUUGGCAGGAUGGGUGGAGAGAUUAUAGAGGGCAUGGAGGGCAUCAAGCUUGCAUUGCGGUUCAGUUUUAGCUCCAAGCAGAUGGAUUAAAAAGGGGACAGCUUGGCUUGUGCUAAUCAUGGGCUUGGCUUCUUCAAGACAAGAAAGGUUCAGGUAGAGGGCUGUAGCUGAUCCAUGGGAGUUGGAAUUGGGGAUCAUUUCCUCAAGCAAUGGGAGUACUCCCGAUGCCAACAUCAGUUCCUUGUUUCUGAAAAGCAGAAUAUAUGAAGUUAGUAAAUUGAAAUUACAGAUACAUCCCCCUCAAUUUUAAGAAAAUAAGAUUAAAAAGAAUGAGAGCAGAAUUAGAAUUCAUUUUAAACAAGUAAUGGCAUAUUAAAACCACUGUAAGCCCUGGUAUUAUUUUCAAAAAAUUAUUGUAUCGUAAAUGACCAUUUAUGUAAAUAAACUCCCAAUUAUUUCAAGAUCUUCUUAUGGUCAAGGACCAUUUAGACCAUUUUAUGUAAAUAAACCCUUAUAACAAAAGUAAAUUCUACCAUUAUUCCGUAUAUUAUCAGAGCCAAGGGCCACAUUUUCAAUUUUGAAAUUCUUGAAAGCAUUGACCAACAUUACAAACCUGUUAUUGUUAACAGCAAGAUUGAACAGAGCCAUAGCCCCAAUUUCCUGAGCCAUUUCAUUCCUUCCUCGCACAGCCAACUCUAAAAAGCGCAUCAAUGCUUCAACAAACCCAUUAGCUCCCAUAAAAUUCCUGGCUUCCUCAUCGUCCUUUAGCAAGUGUCUGAUCUGUUCUGCCACCUUGCACUUUUUCCUCAAGUCUUCCUCUCCAUCCAAGAUAGCCAGAAAGUUCUCAUAUCUUUCAAACACGUUUUCAGACUCUUCAUCCUGUUCAUGCACAUUUUCCAUUUCAUUUCCCUCGACCUCCUCAAUUAUGCCACUCUCCUCUAAAGGAACCACCUUUACCCCCUUCAUCUUGCAGGAACCAAUGCUGUCCAUUGAUUUCGAAUUUGUUGACUCACACUCAGACAAAGCGAGCCUCCAGUAGUUGAGAUCAAGAGACUCUGGAGGGCCAUCAGGAACAGGAACUCCAUUCUGUUCACACCAGCUCGCAAUGAGACCCUUAACACAGUAAUUAGGAGUUAGACAAAGAUGAGAUAGCUGCUGUUGAGUUUUCGGGCAAGUGUUGUGCCCAUCACUGAACCAUUUCUCAAUGCAGAUUCUUUCAUACGUUUGCCCAGAAGAUAUUAUCACUGGAUCAUACAUGAGCUGCAAUGAUAUUGGACACCUCAACUCUUCUUGUGGAAGAGGCAUCUGCCCAGAUCUCCUAUUAUUUGGCUUGAAAUUGAAAGAACCAAGUUUUGAGAGCUGUCUCUCAAAGGCAUGACCAUAGACUGCAGGUCCAACACCAUCUUCAAGAGAACCCAUAACAGUCGGCGAACAAGGAGCCGAACCCUGUGAAUCAUUGUCAUCUGAUAACUCACUUCUAAAUAACUUAGAGUAUUUUCUCAUGAGAUGUAAAAGAUAAGCAACAAUUGAUUCUUUCCGCUUGUCUUCCUCAAUACGAGCUCUUUCUAUGAGCUUCUUAAGAGCUCUUCUCUCUGUAAGGGCUGCUCUUGAAGAGGUGAUACCAAGUCUAGAAGCAGCUUGGUGAAAAGACUCGAGCUCAUUAUUGUCAUUGCUGUUGUUGAAUUUUCUGCCCUGCUGGAGCAAUGCAAUUAUAUCAUCACCAACUUGCUUCUCCAAUGGAUCAAGUGCGAAUGCAGUUCCCUCAAGUUCACUUACUAUCUCAGAAAUCUGGAAUGUGAAUGGUUACAAAAGAUAUUAAGAUCGAUGCUUCAUCAAAGAGACAAAAAUAAUGGUUAUAAGAACCAUGAAAUUGCUACUACUGUUUUCUUACAGUGUAUGGAACCAUGAAUUAAUAUUAAACAAAUGAAACUACAUAUCCUAAUCAAGAGAGAGAGAGAGAGAGAGAGAGAGAAAACAAAAGUAACUUCUGUAAGUGUUACCUGGACACCAAUAGUUUGUGGAACAAUAUCUUCAACUCGCCUCAGACUAUCUGCAAGAGCACAUCGUGCCUUCUCGAAUUUUAAAGCCACUGAAUCACCAGUAAUAGCCUGCAUGAAAACAAUGAAAGUCAUAGUAAAACAUUCAUGGUUGAAAAUUUUCAUUUUUUUCAAAAAUGAAUAGAAAUUUGAAAUUAGGAGCUAAACCAUACAGCUAUUUAUCAGCUUAUCCCCUUUAAAGAUGUGGCAACCUAUAUAUAUAUAUAUAUAAUAAACCAUCAGGAGGGGGGGACUGGAUAAUUGAUCAAUAUAUUUAUUUAUUCCAUCAGCACAGACAAGCAAUAUCAUGUAUGGAUAUUCGAUUCCUUGUUUGAAAAAAAAGUAGAAAAACAGCUAAAUUCUAUAGUACAAGGAAUAAUAAUUGCAGCACAAACAUAUUCAUGCAACUGAGACAAUACUUACCAAAUAAAGUUUACUACAUUCUGAGCAAUGCUGAAGAAUAUUCUUGGCCUUCUCCAGCGCUAUGUGCAAUGAGCAUAAUGCCUGAAUACCUGAUUUGCUCCUAGGCCUUGCUGCUUCCAGAACAGGGAAAAUUUCCAGUAUUUUGCAAUAAAUCGUGGAGAGCAUCCUGCACAUCCCUCCAUGUAACUGCACAAGCAACCACAUCAGUUCAUCAGGCACCUUAGUUAACAGAACUAUAUGAUGUUCAAAGACUUGUUAGAUUUUUUUUUUAAUCCAUGUUUCAACGAAAUAUCUAAUUUUACUCCACUUCAGAAAGAGGUAGCCUUUCUGCAAAUCAACUUACUCUAAUUGGAAACUGAAAAACCAAUUACAGCAUCAAACCCAGUUUGUGUGAAAAUCCCUGUGGCCAACAGGUUAUAGUAAUUUCUAUUUCAGAGCCUGGCGGGAAAAGUUUAUUGCUAAACUGAAAUACCCAUCAUAGAUAUGUGAGGUAUAUAGAUUAGAAUAACAAAGGGGGCAAAAGAACCCCAGCACCCUGAGAUGAAUUACACAUAUCCACAUAUAACAUCAACCCAAACCCUACUGUAAAACUAAUCAACCAUCUCAAACAAUCUCAAGUAUAUGAUCCAAAACCAUUUCUAAAUCUUUAAGGAAAAGAAUUCUACAAAUAACCCAAAAUAAGCAAGUCAGAAUAAAAUUCCCAACGCUCAUUUCUUAAAACUUCAAGCAGAUAUAGCAUCCAUACCUUGGCAUCACUGACCGCGAACAAACUCUCUUCAACCUCAUGAAUAUCCAUAAUUUAUGGUAGAAAACUACUACAGAUGUUUGAAUUGUCUGAAAUGCAAAAAGAAUAAAUCAUCAAAUCAGUAUGAACUUUUAUGAAAAUUGUUAGAAAUGAAAGAAUUUCUGCAUUAACCAAAUUAGACAAGAAAAGGUAAUAAAUGUUUAAGUUCUAUUAUAUUAAUAGAAGCCAGAAAAAUUACCAUAUGUCAGGGAUGACCAAAAAACUCAAGAAACUAGAAGAAAAUAGAUUAAGGAACAAGGGAGAAAAAGAGAUAAAGGUGACACAGAAAGCUACUAUUUGAUGAAAACACCCAGUGAAACAAGAUUGAUCCCAAUACCAUUUGAUUUAGACAUUUCGUCUAACAUCUAAAAAUUGAAAUUCACGGAAACAAUUUGUAAAAUAAAAUAAAUAGAAAAAGAAAAGAAAAGAAAAACCCAACAAAAAAUUGCAUGAGAAGCAUUGGAAAAAAAAUAUAUACAAAAUUAAACUCAGACCUUUCAUCUAACACCCAGAAUUCAAAACCCAAAAGAAAAUUCCCAAAGAAAAAAUAAAUUAUCCAUAAGUUCGGUUUGGACGUUUCAUCCAGCACCAGAAAUAGAAACUUUAAAAACAAAUUCAGUUGAAAAAAUUUUAAAAUUAGAAAAAUGACCUCUCAGCUGAGAUCUCAAAUGUGAGCAAUAUCACACAAUCGAGCACCGAAUUUCCCAAGAGAGAAAAAUAAAAAACCCAUAAUUUUACAACCAAGAAAAACAAAGAAAGCAAUUCUCCAAUCAUAAAAAAACGCAAAUUACCCAAAAUGCGACUCAGACCCGAAAUGAAAACACACCCAACACGAAACCCACCAAAAAAAAAAAAUGGAAAACCACAACAAAAACACCCCAAAUUUCCAAUCCCAAAUUCUCUCAUCCAAAACCCAACUAGGAUUCAUAGCAAAAAACGUACCAAGAAAAACCGGAACAAGCUCUGGAGGCUUCAUAAAAACCCCACCUACACACAAAUUCACCGCCCUCAAAUGCAACAACGAAUUAGGGUUUCCAUCACCCAUUUCCCAUCUCAUCACUUGGCCUUAGGACUGAGAAUUUCUCGCAGUGAGUUUGAGAGGAGAGAGGCUGGGCUUUGGGGUUAUUGUAAAUGGGCAAUGGGAAGGAAUAUUAAAAUUAUUUUUUUAUUUUUGGGUUGUUUAUUUAUUUACUUAUUUAAAAAAAAAAAUAGAAUAAUCAACCGGUGUUUUGAGAGAUUUAAGUUUUUUAAAAUUUAUUAUUAUUAUAAUAAUUUUUUGUGAUUUUUUCUAAAAAAUAAUUAGAAUUUUCGCCGCUUUUGUCUCCCCGGUUCACCGGCCGACAGUUGCCGACCUCCGGGUUUGUCGGUUAGCAGAUCUGUCAAUUAAUGUUGGCUGAAAUGACGAAACUACCCAUAUUCAUUGUGAAAUUAGGGUUUUGUACGUGGUGUGUUGCUAUUUUGGCGGUUGCAUGUUUGGUUCUCGACAAAGGCCGUUGUCUAAUUUUUACAGAUGGGAAAACUGAAUUAGAAUAUUAAUUGGUCGUUAAAAUAACUGUUUUUUGAAAUUACAGUUUGUAAUAAAUAAUAAAUCUUACCAAGUGGAUACACUUCCUAUUUUUUCUUUAAAAAUUAUAUUUACCUCAAAAAUUAAUAUUUUUAAUAUCAUUUAUUUUAUAAAUCAUAUAUUAUUUUAAGAGUUUUUAUUUUAUCAAAAAGCUCAAAAAUUAUAUAUUUUUAUAUAAAAUUUGGAUAAUUUUUAGGAUACAACUUUAAUCAUCUCAUAUAUUACACUUUGCGUUCAUAUUUUAUAAAUUAUCAUUUUGGUGACUCAUCUUGAAUUUAAAAAUAACAUUGUUACAUCUCAAAAAAAAAUCAAUUAAUAAAAUACUACCAAGUGCAUAAUUUAAAUAUUAAUUUAUAUUUAUAAUAAUAAUAAUUAACUUUUUUAAUAAUUUAAUAUCUUGAAAGUUAAACAAUCCACCAUGUUAGGUAGUGAUAUAAAAAAAAUUAUUUAUUAUUUUAUCUUUACAUUUUUUAAAUUUAAAGCAAAGUGAACUAAAGCCAAAAAGCCCCUUUGCUUGUUUAAUAAAUAUUAACAAAAAUAAAUAAAUAAUUUAAAAUGGGUAAGUGGCUUGUGCAUUUUGUACCUUUAAAGAAAAAACUACAAAGAAUGGCAGCUCUUGUAAUUAUGAAGAAUAUGAGGGGUGAUUCAUUAUUAUAAAAAAUCAACUCUAUCCGUCCUUCCGCAGCUUAUGCCCCUAAGUAGGAGCCCGGAAUCUGAAAAAUAUUGACUUUUUAAGACUUGACUCAUCACUGGCCACGUGGUUUAUUUUUAACCGUCCAUUUUAACAGAAUAUCAAAUGACGUGUCCCUUUGAUCCGUGAUUUACGUAGUUCUUGGGUGAAAAUUUUGAAUUUGUGAUUCACAUUUGCGAUCAUAGAGCGUGAUGGGAAAGCUUUCUGUUAUUCUGUUUGUCACGGUUUAUAAUCGUUAUAUUGAGUUGCCGAAUACUGCUUCGUGUACAAAAAUAAUUGCUUCGUCAACGACACGCGCUUGAGAUACGCGCCGCUUAUUUUGUUGCCUAUGUUUAUUUUUUACCCUACCCAGAUAAAAGAAAUUUUACUGCGACCAUAAAAUGAUUUUUAACAGUUUUCCAGAAAAAGGUAAUAUUCUUCUACUUUUAUUUCCACUAUUAAACAUGACUUAAAUAAUUGUGGAUAAGAGAAGACGUGGAUCCUGUGAUUUAAUGCAUACGUGGGAUUUAAUAGUUAGUUUCAUUAAAAAUGUUAGUUUAAUUUAUCCAACAUUUGAUACAAAGAAUCAAUCCACAAAUAACACGUGGCACAUUAGAAUCCUAAUCUUAAACCCCGGAUAUAGCGCAAGCGUUAAAGGUAAGGUAUAAGAGUGGAUGACUUUGCACAAAAAUCUAUAACAUAAAUGUUUUGCAAAAAUAUUAUAAUACAUAUCAUUAAAGUCUGUUUGGCACUAUAAAAAAGCAUUUUUAGUCGUUCUAAUACUUAAAAGAUAAAAUGUUUCAAAUAUUAAAAAUGAUAGAAAUGUUUCAUAUAAUUACUAUCAAACACAUUCUUAAACCAAAUAAAAACAUUUUAAAGUUUUAUUUACGGUCGUAAAAACCAUAGGUUUAAAAAAAACGAUAUUUAUUUAAUAUCAAUCAAUCAUAACAUAUGACAUCAAAAUUAAUCCUUAAUCGAAAAAUAUGUAUUACAAUUCAUGAACUGAUAAGGAUAUCGAGCCCAUAUGAAAAAAAAAUAUAAAAAGAGAAUUUCCUAAGGUUCAUAAGAAGUGACACCUUUGAAGAAGGUAAAUGAGAACAUCGAUUUUGCAUGAGAGAAGAAGUACAUAUUUUAAAGUCGUGAAUAAUCAUCUCCAAAAUUAUAAAUAUAUAUAUCAUUUUUAAGAAUAACAAUGGGUUAGGUUUUUUUAAUGCACACUCCUCGUUGCUCCUAAUAGGUUGAGUCUGAAAUGAAAAUAAAUGAGUUAGGGUGGGGUUUGAUUCAAAUAUUCAUUUAUUCCACCCCUAUAAAUGAUUAAAUUUUAAAAAUAAUUUAAUUUAAGUUUUUUUUUCAUUUUCUUAUUUUUUUUAACAUGUAAAAUAAUUAAAAAAAUAUACUUCUAAAAAAUAAGUUACAAAAGUUUAUAAAACAAUUUACUUACUCAAUUUAAAAAAGAAUAAAUUAAUAUACAUACUAAAUAGGAUAGGGACAUCAUCAUAGGUUUUUAUAAACCCGACAAGAAUAGGAUGAGAGCAACUCAUCUCGAACCUUCACAAUAUCAUCCGUGAUCAUUGCAAACUCUUGGCAUCUCAUUUUCUUCUUUUAAUCUCUCCAAGUAAAAGAGGAAAGAAAAGUCCAUGACUCUAUCCCCUCUCUUCUACAAAGAGUUAACAACAACAUCAUUCUUUUACAUGGUGUGACAUGAAACAGACUUCCACACAAUAGACCACACAUUUCAACAUGGGUAAGUGCUAAAAUGCAAAAAUAGUACUUCGACAAGAACCACUAAGAAUUCUUUAGCUCCAAUACAAGAUUGCAUGUAUCAUCAUCACCUGACUCCUCUUUGGAUGUUUUCACACCUCACUUGAAUGCUAACAAAGUUUGGUAAUCCUCCAAAGCAUCAGAGUGAAAUGGGCUCAUUUGGAAGGGAGUGAGCUGUUGAACCUCAUAUCCUUUCUUUUUUUUUUGCCUUUUUGGAAGGUGAUGCUGAUUGAGCUAAUAUAUGUAUAGUACUUAACUUGUCCCUUUUCCACCCAGCAUGGAGUUAUUAUUGAGUAUCUCAUCAAAAGAAUGAUACUCAUCAUUUUGGUAUUUUAGGGUAUCUACCAAUUACAAGAUGAAAUUAUUGUUGGGAAAAUGAUUAAUAGAUUUUUUAUUUAUUAUUUGAUUCUCUAGAUGUCCCUAUGAUAGAUUCAAUGGUCGAUUGAGUCAAUACAUUAUUAGUAGACAGCUUUAGAGACAAGUAUUAGUACCAUGUGUCCCUUAACUUUUGGGUCUCUUAACUUUGUAUAGUUUAUUUGUCCGAUUGUUUAGGAAGUUGGAUGAGAGACCAUGGCAUUCAUUAAAUGUUUUCUACUUAAAUUAGAGAUUGUGGGAGGGAGAGAGAGAGAGCCCAUGUUCAUUUUGAGCCAUGGCAUUCAUUAAAUGUUAAAUUAGAGAUGGUGGGAGGGAGGGAGAGAGAGAGAGAGAGAGAGAGCCCAUGUUCAUUUUGAGCCAUGGCAUUCAUUAAAUGUUUUCUAGUUAAAUUAGAGAUGGAGAGAGAGAGAGAGAGAGAGAGAGAGAGAGAGCCCAUGUUCAUUUUGAGCCAUGGCAUUCAUUAAAUGUUUUCUAGUUAAAUUAGAGAUGGAGAGAGAGAGAGAGCCCAUGUUCAUUUUGAGCCACCUUUGAAAUGGUGGCAGUGGGAGUAGGAAAUGGGAGUUUGAAUUUUAUUUCAUUUUUCUAUCAUUAUAUUAUUUAUUAAAUAUAAAAUUAUUUUUAUGAGAAUUGAAAUUCCUCUAUAUCAAAAUUUUAAUUCCUUUUCUUUAUGGUAUGCAGUUGUUUUUGACUUAUUUCUUUGAAGGGAGAGAAGUAUCCAAAUUGGUAGGUCAUUUCAAUAACUACCUUGAUGGAGAAGUCUAUGUUUGAAUUACUUCUUUGUGGGGAAAAGUACAAGUUAAUAAUUUAAGUUCCAAAAUCUAUUUUUAGUGAAAUUCAUAAUAAGUUUAUACAUAAAUAAUGUCAAAAAAAAAAAAUCUCUCAUUCAUAAGAAAUAUCACAAUCAUUUUUCAUAUAAUGUUCUUAUUAUGUCCUAUAGGAUUGAUUAUGAAUCAAAUAAAUAAAUAUUUUUAUACGAGAUUAAAUAAACAAAAGCUCAUAUUAAAACGAGGAAUCGAAUAUGAUACCAUUUACAAUGACUCACUUCUUUUCAUAUAGAUAUUGUGUAUUUUCAAUCCAAUAAACUCUCACAACUUUAAAAUAUGUCUAUAUGAUUAAAAAAGAAAUGUAUACAUAUAUAGUAUUCGAGAUUUUUUUUUUCCCUAUUUAAUGUAAAAUACCAUACAAUAUUAAAAACAAGAGAAAACAUAUUAAAUUUUCUCUUACAAAAAAUUAAAAAUUAGCUUUAAAAUAAUGAAAAAAAAAAUCAUAAAUUUCAUUAUAAAUUAAAAUAAGAAAAAAUUUAAAUCUUCCUUUUAAGUGUCCACUACACAUUAAGUUAUUAAUUCACAUGAAAAAUUAACUAUUAAAUAAUAAAAUAAUGAUGCAUGUUUUGAUUAUCCUAUGUUACAUGGGACUAUGAUUCACCCUAUCCUAAUCAUAUUUUCAUUCAUUUUCUCUUGCACCAACCGCAUCCUAAAAAUAGAAGAUUUUGAAUAAUCUACUAUUAAUGUAAUCAAACUUAUUUAGGCUUUAACCUUCACAAAAUUGAACCAAAACACAAUACGAAAUACUAUGACAUUGUGUACAUGAUGCACCACCCUAUUUUGCCCCUAGUGUAAUUUUUUCAAGCAAUUCAAAUUUGGGUCCACAGUGCCACACUUAUUCAACAAAUAUUAAGAAGGGCAUGGGAUGGACAAAUGAGUAACUUCAAAACCCACAAAAAUUGGUUGAAAACAUAGUGAAAAAAAUAUUAAAUGAAGAGGGAUGAGCCCACAAGGAGACAGCUAAGACAAUGGAAGCAGAAGAAACAAAGGGUCACAUCUUGGAGUCAAAAUCAGAUUCUAGUCCUUUUGCAUGUAAAGUUGAGUCUUGAGACCCCCUUGAGACGCCUUGAGACCCCAUUGGGCAUGGGCAAGCCACUCUUACCAAUUAUUCAGCCUCAUGCUCUGACCAAAAUUAUAUCUCAAUUUUCUUUUUGAAAUUUUUAUAUAUUUUUUAUAUGCUUUUAUAGACUUCUUGGAAGUGGACAAUUGCCUCAAAAAUCUCCUUUUUAACAACCCAAUUUGCUUGGUGUAUCUUUGGAGAUAUCUCCUUUGUUGUUUUAUGUUUGGUUGUUUGGUUGUUAGUUUUUCACAAUUUUUUUUUCCAUGGAAUAACUAACAAUUUGUAAACAGUUAUGUCAUAUAUUUCCGGUUAAGACAAACACACCACUAUUUUGGAUGGAACAUGUUACAUGUAUCAAGGCAAAAAUUUUAUUUAUUUGCACCCUCAUGUCAUAGGAGACUAUAAAAUAUUAGUACAAUUUAAAAUUAUGAAUCCUUAGAUAAAUCAAUAUUUAAAUAAUUUUUUUAAUUAUCCCUUGUUAAGAGAUAUAUUAAUUAGAUUUACAUUGUUGAUUUACUAAUUAACAACAAUAGAAGAGAAAAAGUAAAAUAGUUAUUUCAUAUUUAAGUUUUGUAUUUUAAAAUAUUUUUAUUAAAAUCAAAGAUAAUUUAAGGUUUUUUUAAAAAACUAAAUAAAUAGAAGUUGCUUUUUGGGUCAUAUUUGAGUAAAAAUAUGGUUUUCUUUCCAAUAUAUUUAGUAAUAGGAAAAUAUUUAUAAUAAAAAAAAAAAAGGCCUAUGUUUGGUUUUAUUUUACACCCGAAAUACCAAAAAAAAAUUAUAAUCAAAAGUAAUUAAAAUAGUAUGUAUUUUAAAUUAUUUAAUUUUUAUAUAUGAUAUUUAAAAUAAGUAAAAUGAAUUCGAACCAAUAUAUGUAAAUAAUUUAUUAAUUUUAAUUUUUUUUUUCAUUUUUUCUUUGGUAUUUUCUCUCAUAUUUCUUGGAAACUAAAUAUAAUUUUUAUUUUUUCAUAUAUAAAUAAAUCAUGUUAAAAAGUGUGUGAGUUAUGGUUAAAAGUUAUUCCUAAACACUCUUAAAAGUCAUAUUUAUCCAUCAAUUUUUUUUAAUAUAUAUAUAUAUAUAUAUAUGUAUGUAUGUAUAAAAGAAACUAUCUAAAUAUUUGACAAUUGUUUUCAAUAAUAAUUUUCUAUUCCCUAAAAUGAAAAACCAAAAAUACACAAUAACUAAAAAUUAAUUUCUAUUUUUUGUUUUUAAAAACAAAAAAUAUGAUGUUUUUAGAAAAUAUAUUUCAGUUAUUUUUUAUUAUUUUCACUUGUUUUUAAAGAGUUAUUCAAAAAAUAAUUAUACAAAUACAUAGAAUGACUAAAAAUAAAAUAUUAUAUAUAAAAAUUAUUUUUAAGACAUAUUUAAAAAUAUUAAAAACAAGUUAAAAAUAUCUUAGUUUUCAAAUAAACUUUUAUUCUAAAAAACAUUAUAAAAUUAUUCUUAAAAACUAUUUUUUGAAAUUGUUUCUGAAAAUAAUUACUAAAAAAAACCUAAAUCAUUAUAUUUCUUCUCUAAUAUCAUAAAUUGGAUUCUAACUUUAUUUUUUUUAUUUAUUAUUAUUUGCUUUUGGGGUGGUUGGGACAUAUUCUUUCCCUUCCUUUUAUUUGUCAACUUGGCUUGCUCUGAUUGUGAGAGAUGGUGAGAUGGAUUUGUAGCCACAUCUUCACCAUCAUUACAACUUUAAUAACUAUUUUGACUUUAAUAAUCCCUUAAGCUUUUCAUAAAUUGUAGGUUAAUACCCCAUGGCCCACUUUUAUUGUCUCUUAACUUUUUCAUUAGUUUUUGUUUAAAAUCCCUUUUGUUUUGAACCCACAAAUGGUUUAAACUUUCAAAAUUAAUACAAAAGACAAAACCCCAUUCUCCACUAAAUUUCCUCUUAAAGUAUGGAUUGAUUGAUUUGGGGUUCAUUUGAAAUGCCACUAUUUAAGAGCAAAAUUUAAUGUUCAACUUUUUAUUUUUAAAUUGGAGUUGUUAGGAUUGGAUGCACUUUUUAUAUUCAUUUUCAAGUAUUAAUUUAAACUUUUAAAUUUAUUUUUUGGUUUGUUAGGUAAUUAGCUAAAUAUUUAUUGUGUUACCAAUUUGAAGGUUUUAUUACUACAAAUUUAGCAUUAAAAUUUCUUAAUAAGAAGUUUUUAAGUUUAGCAAAUAUGAAAUUAUCAAGUUAAUAAUAGAAAAUUUCUAAAUGAAAUUUAUUUUGAAGCAGGGGAGAAAAUUAAAGAAAAAUCUAUAUGCUAGAUUGCGAAGUUUGAAUCAGUAUUGUUGGACUUCGCUCAAGAUGUCGAGAGUCGAGUUGUUUGGUCAAUUACAACUGCAAUUAAGAGGUUUUUUCUUUUUUUAUUUAGAGUUUAAUCAUUGUAACUUUUUUCAUUCGUUUUUUUAUUAAUGGAUUGUUAAGCGUUGAUAUACUCUAUAAACUAUUUCCGACAUAAAUAUCAUUAAUAAAAGCACUAAAAACUAAAAAUAUUUUUACAAAAAUCACUGAAAAAAUAUGUAAUUAGUGAAAUUAAUUUAUUGGUAAUACGUCAUUGAAUAAAGCUUGACAGUGAAUAAAAUGAGUGUGGGGGCCAAACACAUCCAAUCCCAUACACCCUAGCAACAGGCAACAAUACAUGAAUUGUCUAUUGCAGGUGGAUCCUUAUGGGAUCUGGUCUAUCUGGAUAAAUCCCAUGAAAGAUGGGAAAGUUAGAAAGAAGAGAAAAAAGGGGCAGUGGGAUCAUGUGAAGGCUACAUUUAUUACCAUCAUAUUGUCUUAUGAUAGUAACAACUACAAAGUAAAAAAAGAAAGGGAAGAAGAUGAUCAGAGACAGGCUAGCUAUCAUCACUCACACACACAGCUCAUGCAUUUGUGGUCGAGCAUCAUUUGGUAGCUACCACUGUCCCUACAUGUUCUCUUCCUCCUUAAAUUGACCACCUUUCUCUCUUGCCUUCUUCUUCCUUCCCAACCUUUUUUUUUUUUUUUUUUUUUGGGUCCUAUGUGAUUAUGAUGGUGUGUACAUGUUUGUGAAGGCCCAUUCAUGCUUGAGGUGGGUGUCCUUGGUUUUCUUGAAAUGGGAAAAAAUUUGAGGAAAACUUGAGGGAAAGAAAAUAAAUAGGAAAAGGUAAAAUAAUAAUAAUAAUAAUUAAAAAUAAAUUUAAAUUUAAUUAUUUUAACUUUUUUAUAAAAAAAAAUCUGAAAAUAUGUAAGAUUUAGGGAAAAGUGUAUUUUUAUUUACUUAUAUAAAAAAAAUCAUAAAAUAAGAGCUCCAAUUUAUAAAAUAUAGAUUUUAAAUUGUUAAAUAAAAAUAAUUAAUAUUUCAUAUAUUUCUUUUUAACCAAAAGUACUAUAUGUGUUAUCUGACCAUUCUAAGUAUUACCUUUUAUGUAUGAAAUUUGAAUUAUUUUUAAAAUUAUUUUUAUUUUAUGAUUAUUUUUAUAUAAAUGAAAAUUCAAUUUUUCUUAAGAUUUUAAAUAGUUUUAAUUAUAUUUGAUUUUUAUUUAUGCAUUUUUCAUAAUAAAAUUAAAUAUAACUUUUUUUUUAAUAUUUUUUCAUUCCUUAUACUUUCCUUAAGCCAAACAUAAAAAGGGUUGAACUUUCUUUAUAAGAAAUUGAUGACCCAUCAAAAACAUAUUUGGAUUUUGGCACUAGUUUCAUCUAUUCGUAUUAAGGUUCAAUUUGUUUGAUAUUAAGCUUUAUUUUUUUAUACCUUUGUUUGAUAAUUUGAAUUUUACUUGACGGUUCAUAUCAACGAUGGUUCAUAUCAAAAGUUAUAUAUAUAUUAUGAAAAAAGAUUCAUUGUAUUUAAAAAAAUGUUUGAACUCUUCGUGAUAUUUGUGUGAUUAUACCUUGUUUGAAAUUAUAUUUUAAAUUCCAUCCAUCAUAUUUAAGUGAUGAAGAACAAAAUUCAUUUUGUAUUAUGUUAAACUAUUAAUUUCAUCCUAAAAAAUUAUUAUGUUAGAUGUGGAUAAUAGAAGAUAGAGGAAAAGAAAAUACAAUAAGAAUGGCUUUAAGAGUCUCUUGGUGGGAGAUUUUAAAAAGUGUUUUUUUAAAUAUAUAUACAUAUAUAUUUGAUAAAAUUUAGAAAACAUUUUUAAAAUUUUGAAAAAUUAUUUAGAAUGUGUUUGGUAUUAAUUUUAGAAAAUAUUUAUAGUAUUUUUAAUAUUUGAGUGAUAAAAAAUUUUAAAUGUUAAAAAUAUUAAAAGCUUUUUUUAGAAUUACAGCAAAACGGGUUCUUAUAGUGUUGAAAAUUACUUGUAAUUUUUUGGAAAAACACUUAUAGGUGAUUCUCCUAAAAAUACUUUCAUAAAAAAUACUUCAAGUAAAAACAUUUUCUUCAAAUGUGCUCUAAAAGCUUAUUUGAUAGUAAUUAUAAGAAGUGUAUUUUUAAAAAAAAUUAAGGGAUUGAAAAAAUUUAUAAAACACUAUGAAAAAUCAUUUAUAGUAUUUAAAACUUGUAAUGUUUUAUAAAGAAAUACUCGAUAAGUGAUCAUUCUAAAAAUAUUAACAAAAAAAAACACUUUAAAUAUAAAUAUUAUCGAAAAUACUCUAAAAGAAGUUUCUUCCCUUGAUUUACUUUGAAAAAUACAAAUAAAAAUUGAAUAUAAUAAAAUUAUUUAAAAACGUAUAUAAUUUUAAAAAAGAGAUGAGAAAUAACUUUUUUUUUAAAUUUUAUUUUUAGAAUUAUAUGAUAAAAAUUCAUUAAAAAAAUUUCCCCAUUUUUUCUUUUCUUAUGUUAGUGAUCAGGAGUAAUUCUAUCUAAAAAGGGUUGGAAAUUUUUUCUAAUAAAUUCUUUAAAAAAACAAAUAAAAAAUUAAAAAUUAAAAAUUUUAAAAAGGAGAAAAAAAAAAAGAAAGAAGAAGAAGCUGCUGUGACUGUCUUAUUUACAUAAAGAAACUAAAUCCAUCCUUUUUAUGAAAUUAUUUCAAAACAACCAUCUUCAACAAAUUUGCUAUUAGGACACUUCUACCCCCACCAAAAAAAAAGUACCAAGAAAAAGUAUUGAAAUAUAAAUUUUAAUCACAUCAAAUAACUUAAAACAGUAGAAAUUAAUGAUGGUGUAAGACAUGUAAUGAUGGUUAAAAUUUUGAAAAUGUGGUGUAAAAGGUCGAUGUGGGUUUGGAAUGUACAAUAUUUAACGUGUGGAUCUUAUAAAAUUGAUUUACACAUAUGAAUCAUGAUGGUGGGUCCAAAUUCCAAACUAACAUAUAUAAAGACGAAAAUUAGGGUUUAAUGUGUCGUCUUUAUUUACCGCCUAAUAAUGUGGACUCACCCAAUGCAUGUGAUGUUAUAGAAGGUUGAACCUUGGAGUUGGAGGUUGGUAGUGUCCACGUUCUCUGCAUGAAAACUACUUGUUCAACUCUGAUGACUCCCUUCUCCAAUCAUCGACUUCCAAGUGCCUUCCACAUUUAAGUUUUGCUUCCCCACAGCAUUUUGCCUUUUUGCUUUUGUUUGGAGGUAGGAGCCCACUUCACUUGGUAUCAAAUUGAAAAUUUAUGGCGUAUGAAAUUCUAGUCAUGGAUAUAUAUAUAUAUGAGACCGAGAUACAAAGUAAUGAAAUCAAACUUGGAUAUAUAUAUAUAUAUAUAUAUAUAUAAAAUAUGAUCUGAUAACGUAAUUUUAAUUAUUAAAAAUACAUAAUGAAAUUUAAGUCUUGAAUAAGAAUACAAGGAUACGAAAUCUAAAUACAAAGUAAUGAAAUCGUAUCUGAGAGUAAUAAGAUUUAAAAUGUAUAUAUGUUAUAGUUUGAUUAUUAUGUCAAAGAAAUUAAGAAAGAGACAAAAUUUACGAUGACUAAGGGCCCUUAAUUUCUUUUUUUAAAUGUUUGACUCUUUUUUUCUUCGUCAAAGGUAAGUUCGUUUAAUUGAAUGGUCGUAUCACAUGAGCUUAAUGAUAUGGUACAAGGGAUGUUGAAAGGUUGCAUCACCUUUUCUAAUGUUUUUCUUUAAUUAUUUUUCUCUUUCUAUUUUUUUUAAUAAUAAAAAAAUUAUUUUUAUAUAUUAUUUUAAACUCAUUUCAAUUAUUUUAUCUUUUUUUAUGUAAAAAUUAAAUAAUUUAAAAUAUAUGUAAAUUUUUUUAUCAAUUUUAAUCAUAUUUUAUUUUCUUUUAUAUUUUCAUAAUAAAAUCAAAUAUAAGAAAAUUAUUUUUUUAACAUUUUUUUAAUGCUAUCCUAAACCAAAUAUUGCACAAGGGUUUUCCUCAAAUUUUAGUCCCAAAAUUAAAAAAUAAAUGUUGCCCAAAUAGCCAAUUUGGUUUGGGCCAAGAUUGUUGCUUAAAUGGAGCCCAGACUGCUCUUCAAGUGGGAGCCCACGCCCCUUUCACGUAUAGUUUGCCUUGCCCGUUGGAAAUUACUAAUUAGUAUCCAAUGAUUAUGAUGAUGGUCUUUCCACCUCUCCAUUUCCUUCUAAUUCUCACCUCCUUAUUUUCUCUCUCCUCCUUAUUUUUAAUAAUUUUAUAAAUUUAUAUACCAAAAUGUAACCCAAAAAUUUAAAUACAAAUUAAUAAUAGAAUCAAUUAAGAAAAACCAUUAUUUAAAAAAAUUAAUAUAUACAUUAUUUGUGUCUCCAUUUUUAUUACCCGAAAAAUUAUGUAUAAGACGCAUAUGAGAUAAAAAAAGAAUUUAACAAAACCGCAUUGAAAGAAGCAUUUUUUAUUGAGUAUAAAAUAAUUCUUUUACCCUCACUAUUAAGAGCUCAUUUAACAGUAAUUAUAGAAGACGCUUUUGAUUUUUUUUAAUACUUAAUUUUUUUUUUAUCACGGUCAAAAAUGUUAAAUUUAUAUUUUGAUAUUUCUCAUUCGUAUUUUAUCCUUAUUUUUAGGCUAUUUUAUAAAUUAAUUUGUAUAUUCUCAUAGAUACAUUAUGUUCUAGAAUUUAUAUAAAUUUGAAAAAAAAUUAAUUAUUUAUAUAACCUGAUUGAGUUGAGCUUAUAGUUGCCUAGGCAUUUUUAUCCAGAGGCUUUUAGGAUCAGAAAUCAGCCCACUUACGGUCCAAUCGAAGCAAAAUUUGGGCCAGACCAGGCCCAGGCCAGUAAUGCUAAAGUCACGGGAUUGUCACAGUAUAGCAUUAUGCAUCGCCUUUAAGGUUUGCUUGCAGCACAAGAAGACCCGAUCUUUAUUUACUCAGAAAGUAUUCAAUCAGUUCUUCUCCAAACGCUGCGUUUCGAUCGAUCUGUGAGUUCUAGGUACUCCUCUAAUCUCUAUUCUCAAUUCAUUCGAUCGACUUCUAGUUUAUACAAUCGUUUGGAUGCUUAGAAACUAUGAGAAAACCAAAGAAAAAUUUGAAUCGUAAUUUUUUUUUUUCACCAGUUAGGGUUCGAGAAUACAAAAAAUGACACUCACCUAAAUUUAUACGAAACUUUGGAUUUUUUGAUCGGAGCUUUUGGUUUUUGUUUUUUUGUUUUUCGUUUUUGGCAGCAAAGAAAGUGAGAGAGAUAAUAGCAUAGGAAUCAAAAUGUUGCUUUUGUUUUUCAUCAUUUUCUUGGUAACCAAGCAGAGGGCUUGGAUAUCAUUCUGAGUGCUUUAUUAAUUGGGAAUGCUAUUGCUGGAAGCUUUGAAUUCUAGGGUUUUCUCUUGGAAUGGCCGUAUAACUAUUGCAAGUUUGGAUAAAUUUUUGUUAGAUUCACGGUCUUUUUCUAUCUGGAAAUCUUUUCUCGUGUAAAAAGCGAUCUAGUUUUGACGCUGAGGAGAAAUGAGACAAUGAAUUCAAAUUUUGAAUUCAGAAAUUUUCACCACAGUCGAAUACAGAAAAUUGCCACUUUUGUGUGAGAGUGGUGGGUGGGGUGGCGGGUUUUGGGGCGUGCGGGGAAGCAGAAUAUGAGAGAUAACUUACGAAUGAAAAUCUUUUCUUUUAUUGUUCUCUAUUUUCCUGGUAACCAAACAGUUUUCUUUUUGAAUGACUUCUAACUUGUCAAUGCUAUGGCUGAAAACUUUUGAAUUCGAAGAUUUCUUUCUGGACUACAGCUAAAGUUGGAAUUUUUAUAAAUUUAACUAUAUGGGAACACAAUCUUGCACAAUUGUAGCAUGAAAAAUUAUUUGGAUUGAAUUAAUAUUCACUAAUUUUUUAGGGGUUUCUUCUCUUUGUCUAGGCUAUAAGCAUGAAGCUUGACACUAGUGGUCUUGAGUCAACUGUACCGCUCUUCGGGGCUAAUAGCGAGCUUCUUGGUGGGUUUUCAGCUGCUCCUUCAUUUGAGCUUCCAAACACUACUGAUGUGAGUUCUGAUACAUUUGAUUUAGAAUCUUCCUAUCAAUGAAAAAAAGGCUCAAUUUGGAAUGUGAUGUCACACUUUCCUUUAGUAGAAAUUAGAAUCAGUAGGGACUGAAAAUGUUUUCCCUUUUUCAGUUUGAUGGGUUUCAGAAAGAUGCUAUUCAAAUGGUGAAGCCAGCAAAGGGAACAACAACUCUUGCCUUCAUUUUUAAGGAGGGUGUAAUGGUUGCUGCUGAUUCUCGUGCUAGCAUGGGAGGAUAUAUCUGUAAGUUUUUUUUUGUUCUUACUUGGUUCAUUUUGAGGAAGAUAUAUUUAUACUGUUUAGAUUAGUUAGGAUUAGUGGACCAUAUAAACCUGUUCAUGAACAAGUUCAAUUCAGGAAGAAAAAUGGGUGACUUAAAACACUAGUGAUUCUGCAAUAGUUGCUUCAAUAUUAAUAUACAGUGAAAUACAAGCAUAUUGAAUUUAAAUAAAAUGUGGCAACUUAUAUCUGAUAUCAUGUUUUAGGGGGUUCUGUAGAUCUGCAUUCAUCAAGAUAAUAUGAUUUUAAACACCCCUACAAAAAAGCAGUAUAGGUUAUGCUUGAGAAGUUUUUUUCGUCCUUUAGCAUCUAUAUGUCAUGAGUAUGGUCCAUAUGGAUGCAAUUUCUCAUCUAUUUUUCCUUGAUAUAUGUAUGUUUGUGUAUUAUAUGGUUAGUUGGAACCACACAUACCUACACACAGAACUUCCAGUAACCUCUUGCAUGUACGAAAUAAAACUUUGUAGCUGAGCAUACACUAUCUCUCUCUCUCUCUCCCCCUAAAGGACCUGAGGAUAAUAUGAUUCUGUGCGACCACUGGAACCUUUAGCAUCUAUAUGUCGUGAGUAUGGUCCAUAUGGAUGCAAUUUCUCAUCUAUUUUCCUUGAUAUAUGUGUGUGUGUUAUAUGGUUAGUUGGAACUAUAUAAACCUAUACACAGAACUUCCGGUAAGGGAAAAAAUGGAACCUCUUGCAGUGUAUGAAAUAAAACUUUGUAGCUGAGCAUACAACAUUUCUCUCCCCCCCACAUGAUGAAAAAAAAAAAAUUGUAUAAGGACCUGAGGAUAAGAUGAUCCUAUUUGACCACUGUACAUUGGUAGAAGCAUCAUGAAUUGGAAUAAUUGGGAAUCUUGAGUAACUAGCCAAGCCACUAAAGCAGCCAAAGUGGUGAUAGAUCCCAUUAGUUAAAUGAGUCUUAUAGAAAGUGCAUCUAUUUUUAAUCUCUUCUUAAAAUAAAAGGAAAAGGAAAUUGUCCAUUUAUAAUCCUUCACCAAUUGGAUUAAAGGAUCAUCUAAUUGGAAAUUAUAACAGAAUUUGUAGGUUGUUAAGUAGUUAUAAGAUAUAUACUUAUACCUCUAAUUAUCUCAUUUCCUCUAUGAGGGAAAGAGAAAAUUGAGGUUCUUCCUUAUAUAGGCAAAACUAAUAUACACCAAGGAAAAUAUUUUCUAAUAGGGUGUUUUCAGUGCCUUGAGAUUUGAGGCCUUGUUUGGCAUGACCUUUCAGCAAUCUAAAAGCUUUUAAUAUUUGUCGGAGAGCUUAAAAUGUGUUUGAUAACACACUAACAUUUUAUAGGAGAUGUUUAAGGCUAGAAGCUCUUUCACUGAAGUUAAGGGUGAGACGCUUUUGUAGAAAAACUUACAAGGGAGGGAAAAAUUGUUACAAAAUAAAAAAGAGAUUAAUGGCUUGUUUGACAAUGUUUUUAAAAAUAGUUUUUGAAAAUAGUUUUUGAAAAUAGUUCUUAAAAACAGUUCUUAAUUGUUUUCAAUAACAAAAUUUUGUUUAGGAACUCAAGUAUAAAAAACAAUUUUCUUGCCUUAUUCUCCAUGAAAGUACUGUGUACUUACAUAUAAUUCAAAUGUUCUUAAAGUAUUCUCCAUAUUUUCAAUUAUUGUUCAGGAAUAUACUAUGAAAAAACAACUAAAACCACCUCAAAUUUGUUCUAAAAAAUAACCUGUUUUUAGAAAAAAAAUUCUAAAAAGAACUAUUUUAUCUCAAAGUCUACUAAACUUGUUUUCUAAGUUAGAAAACUAUUGUAUGUUGUAAAGAAUAGAAAAUUGUUUUUUUUUUAGAACAUAAAACUGUUUUUUUGUUUCCUUUUGUCAAAUGUGUGUGUUUUUUUCUUUUUUCUUUUUUUCUUUUUUUCUUUUUUUCUUUUAUAUAUAUAUAUAUGUAUAUAUGUAUAUAUUCUAGUGAACAGAAAAUUAUUUUCAAAAAUAGUUACCAUACAGGGCCUAAGCUUCUAAAAUGAACAAAUGGAAGUCCUUUAGCUUUUGUUGACAAGGCAACUAAUUUACACCUUAAUCACUCCUUAGUAAGAAGUACCCUUUUGAGUUGGCAUGGGUCCUUUGUUUGGAAGGAGAGGAAGAAAGCUUGGAGAGCGGCUUUUUAGCAUUUAUUUUGGAUCAUUUGGAAGGUGAAAAAUAGGAGAGUAUUUGAAAAUACUGAAAAUGUGGAUCAAACAAUCAAAUAAUGCUCUAUGUAUAAUUUUUUGGAGUGGGUUAGAGUGUACAAGGAUAUUCCUCAAUGUCCAUGGUGAACUACAUUAUUUGACUUAGCUCUAAGUAGGGAGAGGGAGUUGGUUUUUGUAUCUUGCUCCACUUUAUCUAGCCUUUUGACUCCUUUGUGUACACCAUGUAUGUCUUUUGCAUGCCCUUUUAUUAGACACUUUUAAUAUAUUUGAUCUUUUCCUAUCAAAAAAGAAAAGAAAAAUCGUACGAUAAAUUGAAUAUGUUGUAUUUUCAUCUUAUUUUCUCAGUUGAAUAAAUUCUAUUAUUCAAUUUCAAGCAACUUUAAAUGUUUCAGGACUUAUUUUAAAAUUUUGCCUCCCUCUUAUUGCGUUUUCACAACAUUUCCCAUUUUUUAUUAAACUAAACUCAUCUGAUCAAAACUUUGAACCAUGAAAUAGGGAGAUCUUUUGGACUUUGGAUGCAUUGCCUAUUUGUUUUCAUUGUCUUCCUUCCUUAUUUUUGCAGCAUCACAAUCUGUGAAGAAAAUUAUUGAAAUUAAUCCCUACAUGCUUGGCACAAUGGCUGGAGGAGCUGCUGAUUGCCAGUUUUGGCACAGAAAUUUGGGCAUUAAGGUAAUGUAUUUUUGUUGUUUUCUCUAAUUUGCACUCUUUUUCAGGCCUGUGAUCUACAAUAAUUAUGGAAUGAUUUGAUAGUACUGGUUCUGCUACUGUAAACAAGUAUCUUUAGCACUCUGGAUUGUUUUAUUCUUUGUGCACUCAGCUGGUAAAUGUAGACAAUUUAUUACUGAUUGUGUUCAAGGGCUUCUUCCUUAAGCAACGUCUUAAUUUUGUAGUCCACCUAUGCCGUUGGUAAAAGAAUGGAGUCAUGUCUUCGUUCUCCUUGCUGACUGCUGAGAGACCACAGCUGUGAUAGUCAGCUUUUCUUGCUAAAUCCAAAUAUGGAGUUCCUGUAUUCUUUUGAUGAAUCUUCGUGCUUCCCCUAUUAUAUACUGAAAACUUGAUUAAGAAAGACCCUAAUGAUUAUUUGUUUUGAUAUCAAGAUUCUGUCCAUCAUAUAAAUUUGAACCUUCUCCUGAAUUGCACUUGUAAUUUGUGAACAUGCUCUUGCCUUGGCUCUUCCGCAAUCACUAUAACAUGCCUUAUUUCUUUUUAUUUGUUGUUCUGUUAUUAAUCCAUAAAAUUCUAAUUAUACAUACAUGAGAUUUAAGCUUUAUUUAACAAAAACACUGAAUUAGCCCUUGAGGCAUGGGUUGGGUGAAGGCAUAUAUUCUUUCUAUUUGUAGCCAUUAUUCAUAUAUAAAGUCUAAUUACACAUACAUAAACUUUAAGCUUUAUUUAACACAAACAUUGAACUGGCCCUUGAGGCUUAGCUGGGGUGAGAGAGAUCAUCAAUACUUAUUUUUCCCUAAUCUUACAUAAAUUAAAUUAAUAAGCAUAUAUCGUGUAAAGUCUUUAUCUUAGACACUUGGUAGACUGGAUAACUGUUUCUCAUGAAAUGAGCUUAGGCAUGUAUGGAAUACUUAUGAGUUGACCCAAUGGCCUUGCUCUUAGGUUGACCCAAUUACCCACAGAUAUGAACUGAUGUAUAUUUGCUUGCAAUAUUCCAGUGCCGACUGCAUGAACUUGCAAACAAGCGAAGGAUUUCAGUUACAGGGGCUUCAAAACUGCUGGCAAACAUUCUAUAUUCUUACCGUGGAAUGGGUCUAUCUGUUGGGACCAUGAUUGCUGGGUGGGAUGAAACGGUAAUGAGAUUUGAAUAUUAUGAAAUGAUCUUUUGCCUAUCUUAAUUUCAUGAUCUUAAUCUGUCUACUUUGUGGGGUAUGUAGGGUCCUGGACUGUAUUAUGUGGACAGUGAAGGGGGCAGGCUGAAAGGAACACGAUUCUCUGUUGGAUCUGGUUCGCCUUAUGCUUAUGGUGUACUGGAUAAUGGGUAUGUGCUUUUUUUGCCCCUUUAUUCCUGUUAUCUGUUGCUCUUUGCAUGUUUGAGCUAUAUCAGUGGAUAUUUCAUUUCCAAAUAUCUAAUGGAAAUUCCUUGGAAAAUUAGAGAAAUAUUGCACUAAACCAUAAACUGGGAUAAAAGCAGGUGGUACACAUGUUUUAUAAAACAUCUUCUGGAUCUAGCUAUUUUGCCAUUGUUGGAUCUUGUUGAUAGUAUGGGGAUUGAUUAACUAGUUAGUGUUCUUGUUGUAUUUAUAUUUUCUUUUUUGGUUUGUGUACUGUUUGUAUACUUCGUCUGUACAUGGGUUGCACCUCUUUUUUUCCUUCACACGAUCAUGAAUAUAUUUAUCCUAUUUUGCAUAUCCCUCAAAAAGGGGAAGAACAAAGAGCUCUUAGACGAUGCCACAAAACAUUUUGAGAUGCCUUAAAUUUGUUGAAAACUUGGCAUUCUCAUGCUUCCUCACCAGUUCCUUUCCAUGUGAUGCCAACUGCCUCACCCCAUGAAAGUUCCAUUGAUGUUAGGGAAAGCUAGAUCCUGGAAAUGGUAGGGUCAUGGACUUGAGGAUGGAACGCUAUUUUGUUGCUAAGUCUGUGGAAUGAUGGGAAGUGUGCUUCAUUGUUGAUAUGCCACUUUCUAGAGAAUUAGGGGUUAUAUUAGACUUGUAUUACAUCAUAAUGUUAUUCUGUCCCUUCAAAGAGUAUGCUUCUAAAUUUCUUGCUUCAUUCAAACAAAGAUCUUUUGAAAAUUCAGUUGACAUUCCUUUCGGUGUUUUUGCAUGGUCAGAUCUCAUGUAUUCUGAGUGUUCUGUUCUUUAAAUCAUAUUAUUCUUAUAUGUUAUUUUUCUUGUUGUUGUCACUCAUGGCAGAUACCGUUAUGAUAUGUCUGUUGAGGAAGCUGCUGAAUUGGCUAGACGAUCUAUUUAUCAUGCGACAUUCCGUGAUGGAGCUAGUGGUGGAGUUGCAAGCGGUACUUACUCUCUCUCUCUCUCUCUCUCUCUCUCUCUCCCAUGUGGAUACAUACAAAUGUAUGUAGUUGUGUUUACGGUUUAAACAUGUAUUUUUUGUUAGUUUAUUAUGUGGGGCCAAAUGGGUGGAAGAAGCUGUCUGGUGAUGAUGUCGGAGAACUCCACUACAAAUACUACCCGGUUAUGCCAAGCACAGUGGAACAGGAAAUGGUUGAAGUAGCAGGAGCUUGAGAGAAAGAUGCCUUGGAACAACUUAGACCAGGUUUGAGAUGUUCUCGUUCUUAAUACAUGACAUGAAGGGAUGGAUUCGCCUAUGUUCUGAUGAACCCAAAAAUCCUUGAAUACAUGUACUUUGGUUUGAUCCCAAACAACUCAUUAACAGACCCGGGUUUCAGUUAUUGUCAUAAGAACCUUUACUAUUAUGAUCCUUUUGUCCUGGCAAUUUAGUUUUAUUCUCAGUUCUUUGCUGCAUGUGUCAUGAACUUUAAUUUCAAUCUCUUUGCAGUAUCCUGAUGUGCCACUGAAAAAUUCAAUGCCUCUAACAGGACCUUAUCCACCAACAAUCACUCCAUUUUUGUGAAAGAACCAAUGGACAAUGAAUAUAUCUAAUCUGCAAUCUGAGAUCCUCCAAUUAUUACAUUUGGGCACCUCUCAGAAGCACAAUCAAUUUAAAGGACCAAGCCUCGUAAUUGGAUUGGUCCCAUUAAGAAAGUAGCAUUAGAAAGAAUCAAAUUGAUUAAAUGAUGUCACCCAUUUAUUUUGUUCAGUUUCUAUGAACUGUAGACACUUUUGUUUAAAGAAUUAUUUUAGAAUGGUUACUGGGAUGAAAUGAUUGAAUUCAUGAAUCAUUUUGAUUGCUCUGCAAAGCAAUGCAGUCUGUCAAAUGAUCAGGUCCUGGCACUUACUGGUAGUUGGUUUAACGUGCAAAUUCGGAUGAAACCCAAGGGAGCAGCUUGAAUUAUUGGCUUGCAGGCAUGGUCUGGAUUGUGUUAAUGACAGGAGCAUCUGUACAUUUUUUGUGUAUGAAGAAAACUGAUGAGCUAUCCAUUGUCCUUUUUUGACUGAAUGAAUUGAUAGUGUCUUCUUGUGUAGGUUGUGACUUUGUGAGUUGGGUUCUGCUUGUUCUUUUCUUUUCCUCCCCUUUUUACCAACCUUAUGCUGGUCUUUCAAACACUGAAAUAAUUAGGAGAAUGUUGUUUAAGGUCUUUCACCCUAUCUAUCAUACCCUCGUGAGUGUGAUAUCUAAGCAAGAUAGAAUGAACAGAAGAGGGGUUCGGAUUUUAAACCAAAUUCUCUCGUGGUAAGUCAAAAUGGGACACAUGCUGUCAUGUCAUGAGGAUGAGAAUAACCCAUGUUUGAUUGGCUUGGUACGAAGUCAUGUCCCAUCCCUUGAGUACAAAGCAAUGCAAUUUUUUUUAUAAUCCUUCUAGUUCUUUCCAUUUGUCAUGAGAAUAUGACUUCUCAUGAACGAGCCUCUUUUCACCUGCCUUUUGUUAGAAAAAGACAAAGUGAUCGUUACAUGCUAUGAAUUUAGAAUUGAGAAAAGAGAAGAUGAAGUGGGAGUCAAGAAUUAGAAAUAGAAGUUUUUGAUCCCCUUUGGAGGAUCAUGCAUUUUGUUUUUUUCCCCUUUUUUUCCCCUUUUCUGACAAGAAUGAGAAAAUGCAAAUUUCUAUUUACCCCAUUUUUUCUUCCCAAUUCUGACAAUGAUAAAAGGAGUAGGUUUGUGUGUUUGUUUUAACAGUUUGUUGAAUUGUCUUUUUAAAUAGGUCCUGAGCAUGAAUAUUUUUUGCUUUAGCAAUACAUCAAUAACAUGUGCCUUUAUUUUGAUAUAGCUUUUCAAUUGUCAAAAUGCUCAUGAUUGUUGUUGGAGGGUAUUGUAUUGAUCAUUUCUUCAAGCACUUCAAGAAAGAUUUUUUUUUUUUAUUUUAUAGAUUAUUUUUCCCAAAAUUAAGAGUUUUAUACUUUUGUGUAGGCACUAUAACAUGCUUCAAAAUUUAAAAUAGGCAUGUAGGAUAUUUCUUUUAGGGAUAUAAAAUGAAUCCUGAAAAAAAAAAAAAAUUAAUGAAAGAUAAAUUUUUUUUUUUUUCAAAAUAUAAAUGCAAGUGGGCUUGAUGGAUAGGCUACUUUAAAGCAUAUUUUAAUUUAUUUUCUCUAUUUAAAAAAAUAAGUGGAAACAUGAAAAGUGAUGAGAUGGCUCCAGAGACUAAACAUACCACAACUUCAAUAAAUUAUAUUACCAUAUAAAAUCAUACUAUAGCAUCACAUGCUAUUCUCCCUCAUACACAUACUAUGUAUAAUAAAUGCAAUCCUAUACCCUUAACUACCCUAAAACAAAUCACAAGCAAACAUUUAUAACAAAACGACCAUACAAGCUGGAAACAGCAUCUCUCUCUCUCUCCCUCUCUCUCUCUCCCUCUCUCUCUCUCCCUCUCCCUCUCUCUUCUUGGCUUUGUUAGCUUUGAAGCUUAGUUUCAUGAUUGGUAUUGUAGAUAAAAUCAUGAUGCAGCUCUCCACUAAACACUUGAGAAAUAAAAUUUUAAAGGCAAUGAAAAAUGUUAAGUAAAGGGAAGUAGUGGGGUGUGUGUACAUGUAAAAGUGUGGUUGAGACAUGAGAUGAGAGAGUGUCCUAUCAUUGGUGUAUUGGUGGUGUUGGUUAGAGGAAAGUGAUGGGUUUUUAUUAGAAAGUUAUUAUAAUCUUUCUCCUCUGUAGGGCUUCCCUACUCUCUCUGCCACCCAACCAUACCUUUCAUUGAUUCCUUCUUUCUUUCCUUGGGACAACUAGACUCUAAUUAUUACAAAUUAUUGUUGUUUUCAUUUACGGUAACAUUUAUGGAUUUGUGUCUUGUAAUGGGACUCAUUUACUUUCUAUUAAGGUUUGCAUUUAACUUUCUUUGAUUUAAUUAAGUUUGUUCAUGAUCAUAAGUUAGGGGUUUUUUUUUUUGAUGGGUGGGGAUAAAUAAGAUUAAAGAUUUAAAUUUAAUUCUAUGUUAAUAAAAAUAAAUGGAAAGCCCCCCUCCUGCUUCGGAUUUUAUAUGAAAUUUUAAAUUUAUUUAUUGGUUUUCGAAACUGGAAUAUCAUUAAAUAAUUAAUUUAGUAUAAGUUUGUAUUAGAAAAAGAGGACAGAACGUACGAGGGAUUUGGUAAUUAAUUUACUCUAUAAUGAUUUAUGAGAAAUUAAAAAGAGAACAUAUGAAUAGAAAAGAACAGAAAGAUUAGUGUUCAAACAUACUAUAUUGAUUACAAAAAUUCAAUAAUAAUAAGAAAAUACUAAAAUUGCCAUUUGGAGGGCCCACUAAAUAGUUUGAGCAUUGAAGAUAUCAUAUGCUUGAAUAAAUAUCUCAUUUAUUGAUAAUUAAUUGGUGAAAUAUCUUAUGAGUAGUUAAGACACUAAGAUGGAUCAAAUAAAUAUCCAACAUCCAUGUUGUAUUAAUAUGAUUUUGAUAUCUCAUAUCACCUUGACACACUUGAAUAUUGGCCCAACUGUAUGUAGCUCAUGUAUUGAUGAUGAAUUGGUAAAAUAUUUGUAUUGGGUAUCCAAAAAGUUUAUGUUUGGAGGGCUAACUAUUGGUGACAGUGCACUCCUGCAGAGCUAAUGAUGAGUUACUUGGGGGUCUGAUGACUCUGAUCUUAGAGGCCUACCCCCAAUCUGCUGUGAAUAGUUGUUGGCUAUUAUGCAUGCAUGUGCACAUCCGUGAAGCAUGGGUGCACCCAAUUUGGAGUUUCCUUUCAAACCCAUACCCUUAAUUUAUUUAAUUUUUAAAAAUAUAUAUCUAUGAUAUUUGGAUGGAUAGAUGGAGCUCCAUGUUUGAAAAAGAAAAAGAAGACUUAGAAUUUGAUUGGAAAUGUGUUUUGUUUUUUUUUUUUAAAUUUAAAAAUAGGGUUGGGAAUCUUUUGAGAAAAAAUAAAUUUUUAAAACUUGUUUUAAAAAUGGGGUUUUAUUUAAAAAUAUAUUUUAAUUAUUUUUAGCUGUUUUUUGAAAUAUUUUAAAAAAUAAUAAUUUAAAUAAAAUGAUUAAAAAUAAAAUAUUAGGGAUAAUUUCUUUUUUAAAAAAAUAUAUAUUUGAAUCUAAACAUUUUAUUCUAAUAAAUAUAAUAGAAUUGUUUUUCAAAUCAUUCCCAAAUAGAUUUUUAUAUUUCUUUCAAACCCAAUUUUAAAAAAAAUAAAAAUAAAAAUUGUAUUCUACAAUUUAUUUUUGAAAAAUAAAAAUGUAAGUAGAUAAUAUUUUUUGGUAAGAAGAAAAAUGACCAAAAAACAUAAGCAAAAUGGAGAGGAAAUGAGGGAGGAGGGCAUUGCGUUUCUUCUACUCCCUUGCUAUCUCUUCCCUUCCGUUAGGAAGUCUUCUCUUUUGGCGGGAGGCCCCACCACUCAAAACCACACUCUCCUCCCUCUCACGUCUCUCUCUCUCUCUCUCUCUCUCUCUUUCCUAUUAAAUCACCAACCACCCAAUCCCUCUUCUCUUCAACCUUUGCCCCCCUAGUCUGCACUCUGCACUCUCCACUCUCUACUCUGUAAUCUCUUUUUCUUUCUCUCCAUCCAAAACGACGUCGUUUCAUCAUCAACACCAUGCAGCUCUUCUCCCUCUCCUUCUUCCUCUUCUUCUUCCUUCUCAAUCCUACUCCCUCUCUCUCACUUUCUUCUGAUGGCCUCUCCUUACUCUCCCUCAAGUCCGCCGUUGACGACGCCGCCUCCGCCUUCUCCGACUGGAACGAGGACGACCCCAACCCCUGCCGCUGGACCGGCAUUUCCUGCAUGAAUGUCUCCGGCUUCUCCGACCCCCGCGUCGUCGGAAUUGCGAUCUCCGGUAGGAAUCUCCGUGGGUAUAUUCCGUCUGAAUUGGGGAAUCUUUUCUAUCUCCGGCGGCUCAAUCUUCAUGGGAAUAACUUUUACGGGUCAAUUCCGGUUCAGUUGUUUAAUGCUUCGUCUUUGCAUAGUAUUUUUUUGUAUGGGAAUAAUCUCUCCGGUACUCUCCCGCCGGCGAUGUGUCAGCUGCCCAGGUUGCAGAAUGUCGAUUUUUCCAAUAAUUCGCUGUCGGGAUCGAUUCCGGAGGGUUUGAAGAAGUGUAAACAGUUGCAGAGGUUGGUCGUCACCCGGAAUCAAUUUUCCGGCGAAAUUCCGGAGGGGAUUUGGCCGGAGAUGGAGAAUUUGGUUCAGCUCGAUCUGUCGUCGAAUGAGUUCAACGGAUCGAUUCCUGAUGAUAUCGGUGAGCUGAAGUCGCUCUCCGGAACUCUGAACCUCUCUCACAACCAUUUCACAGGAAAGAUUCCAAAAUCGCUCGGGAACCUGCCGGAGACGGUGAGUUUCGACCUCCGGAGCAACAAUCUCUCCGGCGAAAUCCCCCAGACCGGCGCGUUUGCCAACCAAGGCCCCACCGCAUUCCUCAACAACCCCGACCUCUGCGGCUUCCCCCUCCAGAAAUCCUGCCGGAACCCAUCCCGGAGUUCUCCGGAGGGUCAGAGCUCAUCCCCAGAAUCUGGCACCAAUGCAAGAAAAGGCCUGAGCCCAGGUUUGAUCAUCCUAAUAUCCGUCGCUGACGCCGCCGGAGUGGCUUUCAUUGGCUUGAUCAUAGUGUACAUAUACUGGAAAAACAGGGAUUCACAGGGCUGCAGCUGCACCGGCAAAGAAAAACUCGGCAGUACCGGAAGAUCCGCUUUGUGUUCGUGCCUUUCUGCCCACAGUUUUCAGAAUAAUGACUCCGAAAUGGAAUCAGAUAAGGAAAGAGGAGGCAAAGGAGCAGAGGGUGAUCUUGUAGCCAUUGACAAAGGCUUCAGUUUUGAACUGGAUGAGCUUUUAAGGGCAUCAGCCUACGUGUUAGGAAAGAGUGGUUUGGGGAUUGUGUACAAGGUGGUGCUCGGAAAUGGAGUUCCAGUGGCGGUGAGGCGGUUGGGGGAGGGUGGGGAGCAGAGGUACAAGGAAUUUGUGGCUGAGGUUCAGGCUAUUGGGAGAGUGAAGCACCCCAACGUUGUCAAGUUGAGAGCUUACUAUUGGGCUCCUGAUGAGAAGCUCCUGAUUUCGGAUUUCAUCUCCAAUGGCAACUUGGCUAAUGCUCUCCGAGGUAACCUUCCUAAAUUUUUCCUUCACGUGUGAAUUCACAAUUUUUUCUGCGUUUUCCUAAUUACCAAUUUUAGAAUGUGUAGUUCCUUAAAUAUUAUUUAUCAUUUCAAUUACUUAUCCUUACAUGAGCUCUGUUCAACCUUGGAUCCUGAAUGAAUCCUGUUCCCUUCUUGGGAUGUUGAGCUUUUGGAUUGAAGUUUGAAGCAAAACUGGCAAAAGCCAGAAAUGUCUAAAGUUUAUGUUUUUACCUUUUAUGCAUGGUGUGUGUGUAUGUUGGAUCAAGAAUUAAAGGGUCAACUUUAGGAUACACAAUUAAGAAACAUGGUGAAUGAUAGCGAGGUUUUGGAGUAUCGGUCCUGGCACAGUUAGGAGAUCCAACGUAAGGGAGUUCCCUUGACCAUGAUUGAGCAUCAUCAAAGCCAAUGCCAGCAAGGAUGAUGGGGUGCCCAUGAUGCAAGGGGUUAGAAUUUUGAUAGCUCAAUCACGCAGCAGUGGGCCAAGAUGGAUGGCAUUCCAUAAUUUUUCAAUAGUAGGUUAGCUUUUUUGUGUAACGAAAGCUACAGCCCCGCAUGGGCUAAUCUCCCCGCCUUGUAAUCAUGUUGAUUAUUGGGAUCCAAGAGGGUGUUUUGAGUAUGUUUUGAGAUUUGCUGGUGCCUGAUUUGGAUUUCUUGAGUACUAAUUAAAGCGUCCUCUAAAGGUUCCUCUUGGUCUUUUUCUUCCACUUUAGUGAGAGAAAAUUUUCUGGAAAGAAGUGAGCUUUGGAUUUCUCCUUUUCCUCUUCCUUUUUCCUGAAAAAGGGUAGACUUUCUUUCCAGUGCACCUGUUUGCUUUCAAUAUCAGCCAGGUUGAUCAUCUCCCUUCUCCCUUGCAACACAGCUCAUCUCCUUUUAUGACUUCUUGGUAUAGUGGGUCCCUUGGUCUUUCCUUCUUGUUACUGCACUCAUAGUUAUGUCUCACCUGGUACCGUUGCUCUCACUUUCCUUUUUCUUUGACCAGAAUUGAUCUCAAAGAAAAUUAGUAACUGUGAAACCACAUACAGAGAAAAGAGAGAGAAGUUGUUGAGAUACAUGUGCAUAUUGAUUUAAAAGGGUCAUCUACGGAGUUUAAGAUUCUGAAAGUCCAUAUGCCUUGAUUGACCUCAAUAAGAAUUAAUUUUCAAUGGUCAGUUCAGUACUGACCUAGGAGUUCUUUAUGGCUCUCAUGUGAAUGCAUGCGCCAUCUUGGCCUUAUCUUAUCAACCACUCUCCCACUCAGGCAUUUGCAUUCAAGGUUUUAAAAAUGAAGGAUGGUCAAUUUUGAUAGGAUUUUAUUAGUAUUAAUUGCAUCUUAUUCAGUUAACAUGGAUGAUCCAGUAGUAGCCUUAUGAUCCAUCUAUUGGGAACUUAGUAUAUGCUUAGGCAUCGCAACUGAUCAUACAAUAUUUUUAAUUUUACAGGGAGAAGUGGACAGCCAUCAUCGAGCCUCUCAUGGUCAACCAGGCUGAAAAUUGCCAAGGGAACAGCCCGGGGCUUGGCCUACCUGCAUGAAUGCAGUCCAAGAAAGUUUGUCCAUGGAGACAUAAAACCCUCCAACAUCCUCCUUGACAACGAAUUCCAGCCCUAUAUCUCUGAUUUUGGCCUCAACAGACUAAUUACAAUCACAGGCAACAACCCUGCCUCAUCCGGUGGCUUCAUUGGUGGAGCCCUCCCCUAUCUAAAAUCAGUCCAACCAGAACGACCCAACAAUUACAAAGCCCCAGAGGCUCGGGUUGCCAACAGCCGCCCUACACAAAAAUGGGAUGUCUACUCAUUUGGGGUUGUAUUACUUGAACUGCUGACCGGAAAAUCCCCAGAGCUCUCCUCUCCAACCACAUCAACAUCCACAGAAGUCCCAGAUCUAGUGAAGUGGGUGAGGAAAGGAUUUGAAGAGGAGAAUCCCCUUUCAGAUAUGGUAGACCCCUUGUUGCUCCAAGAAGUGCAAGCCAAGAAGGAGGUGCUAGCAGUGUUUCAUGUGGCCCUUGCCUGCACUGAGGGAGACCCAGAACUUCGGCCUAGGAUGAAGACUCUCUCAGAAAACCUAGAAAGAAUUGGAUCAUAAGAAAAAACCCAUAUGGUCUUCAAUCAACAUGGUUAUCAAGGAAUAUCAAAUUUCCCUGAUUUUGCAGUGAUGGUGAAUUUUGUAAGCUUUAAGCUUUAUGACAGCAAUGCAGAAUCCUCCUUGGCCUUCACCUUCAAAUCCAACAUCCCCAGAACACAGAAAUUUUCUCCAUGUUUCAGCAAAUUUUGGGAACAUCAUUGGAUGGAUUACACAUUAAUUGUUUAUUUUCUUUCUUUUCCUUCUGUUGGUCAAGUAGCUAAAUUUGUAAUUUAAAUAUCUGUAUCAAUGCCUCAUGCCCUCAAGUAUGUGCUCCAAAUAAAACUGGUAUAUUUUUUUCUUCUCUUCUUCUCUUCUUUUGCUCUUGGUUUUGUGUCUCACUUUGCAAGGCUUACUAGUUGCCAUGUAUAGUCUUUUUCCUGUCUCGCCAUGUAUUGAAACUUUUGAUGAAUCCAAACUUGUAUCAAAAUUACAACACUUAUAGGGUGGGAAUCUUGGUUUAAUUUGGCUUGCCUCAUAAACAAGCAAUCAAUAAGCUGAUCAAAAUUUUAGCAGCAUUUUGCCUAUUUAUAAUAUUUGACAAAAAUUUUCAUCUAUAAAAAUAUAUGUACAUAAUUCAUUAUAAUUAAUUGGUAAGCAUAACAAAACAAUGACCCACAAACAAAUUGUAGAAAUUACAUGUUUACAUAAUCAACACUAAAACGAAUGAACAUCAUAAGUAUUGAUAUUAGCACUCGAUUUAAUAAAACAUUGCGAAUAAAAAUUAAUGGAUAACACCAAAUGCGUUAUAAAGUUCAUGAUUACAAUUUUUAGGAUAACAUAUACAUUCACUUGACAACAAACAAAUGACAAUAUUACCCUUUCAACAACUAAUAAGCAAAAUAUGACUUUAGUGAUCUCUUAUAGACAUCGGAUGUUAUAAGUUGACAAUUAGGAGUUGAAGUUAGUGUGGAUUAUACUUCUCGACUCAAAUAAAGCAUUGCGGAUAUUCUUAUAACUUAAAAGUUGUUAAAAAAUAAUUAAUUAUAUUAUGUAAAUUUUUAUCAAUAUCAACUUUCAUACUUCUUUUCCUCACAUAAGGGUUGUCCAAUUCUAAGAAACGUGUUGACACGUUACACAUUCAUCAAAUGCAUGCUUGUUGUGCACCCAUAAAUUAUUGUUUUGAAUCUUAUCCCAAUUAAAUGUAUAGGGAUUCUUCUUUAGAAGUAACCAAUUUAUGGAUUCCUCUUAUCAAACCACUAGAAAUAUGAUUAAUAUACUUGUGCACAUAUCCGAGAAUAUAAACAUAAAUUUUGAAUAAUUUUAGAGACCAGUUACACUAACUAUAUAAGGCCAGUGAACUAAUUGUUCAAGAGCAUACCAAACAACUCAUUCAAAAGGAAUUUGAGUAUUUCCAAUCAACUUUCUUACUUCUUUCUCUCGUUCAAGAGUUGCUCACUUCCAAGAAACAUAUUGAUACAUCACACACAAUCAUAUAAUGUGUGCACCCAUACAUUUGAGUUUCAAAUCCCUAUCCCCAUUAAAUGCACAAGGAACCCCACUGGUUCUCUCCAAAGCAAUUGAUAUAGGAAUUUUUUAUAUCAAACCAUUAGAAAUAUGAUUAACAUAUUGAUGUAUAUAUCUAAGAAUAAUAAUGUGGAUUUUGAACAGUAUACAAAGCAAUUACACCAACUAUACAACGCACAAAAAGUGUAUAAGAUAGUCUCUUGUGAGUCAUUUUGAAUGUUUCUUUAUAACUUGCUUUUUUCCCUGUAAAAAAAAUUUCAAAUAUUUUAAUAAAUGACAAUAAAAAAACAACCAUUAAAUUUUGUUUUCAUAGUUUAAAAAAUCCAAUAAUAAUAUAAUAUAACAAUGGAUUGUUAUUUUUAAAGAUAAAAUUAAAAUGAAAAGUAAAAAAUGAUAAAUUUAAUUUUUUAUCUUUCAUUUGAUUUGUAAAAUAUUUUAAAAAUAGAUUGAAAAAUAAAAAUAUUUAAUUUGAAAACCGAAAAUAAUAAUAACUUUCAUAGGUUUACAUUAAAAAAGUAAUAAUUCUAAAAUAUAUUUAAAAAAUUAGGUAUUAAUUUUUUUUUUUUGAUCUCAUAUUUUAAAUUUUUUGAAAGAAUUUUUAAAGAUAUAAACAACCCUAUAUUUUUUAUAUAUUAAUUUUUAUUUUUAAAUUUAUAAAAAUUAUUAUUACCUCCCAUUUUUAAAAAGAAAAAAUUUGUUUAAAAAAUCUUAAUACUAAAUUUUUUUAAAAUUUAUAGAAGUAAAAAAAAAUUAUUUUAAAUUUUGAGGUGUAAACCGGAUGUUUCAUAUAUUUUGCUUUCCUUUCCAUUAAAUAAUUUCCACAUUAAAUAAUUUCCACGUCAUCAAUCUCCAGGGUAAUUCUUUUAAAACCCUAAUAAAGUAUUUGGGCAUUUUUGACUCAGAAAAUAUGCUAUCCUUUUAGCAGAUGUAGAAACUUGCUAGUUAUGGCAGAAAACUUAUACGAUUUGUUCGAUAUGGCUUCCUGCAAUGCUUGCAAUUCCUAGUGCUUAAUGGUCUUUACCAAAAUCUUUCAGAACUGGUCCAAUCAUCAAGGAAAGUUCAGGUGACAGACACUUCGAAAUUCCUUUGUAGCUUUUUUAAUCAUAAAGCUUUAUGCAAAAUAUAAGGAAUUUAGACCCAUUAUCACCUCCAACAACCCUAUAUUGUAAUUGUCCUUUUUUUUUUUUUUUUUCUGUCCUUCCCUUGAAUCUGCUAGGGUUUCUCGGAAUUUAGACCCAUUAUCACCUCCAACAAUCCCUUUAUUGUAAUUGUCUUUUUUUUUUUUUUUCUGUCCUUCCCUUGAAUCUGCUAGGGUUUCUCGGAACCGAACGAGAUUAGUCUCGUGGAUGUGGAGAAGUUGGGCCGAAUUGGGCGCUGGAUUUGAUUUCUAGGUAUUUGAUUUCGAUUUUGGAUGGGGUUAUAUUUUGUUGUCAUUAUUUUUAAUUUUCUGGGAUUCGCUUUAACUGGUCUUAUCAAGCAUGGAUAGAGAUGGUUUUGUACUAGUUAUUGUGUGAAAAAGUUUCAAGAAUUGAACUUCCUUGAAACCGAUGUAACCCUUUAUUUUUGCUUCUUGUUUCCUCAAAAUGUUAGUUUGAGGAAUUCGGUUCUUAGAUAAUUGAUCUAAUUUUAGGAGACUUUUUUGAAGGGUGUGUUUUUUAUUUUAUUUUUUAAGGGUUUCAAUCCUUUUAGCUUUGACACCGAAUCUGGAUGUGCUGAUUUUUACCUAGUUAUGUAAUGAAAAUUUUCCAAGAAUUAUAUUUCGGGUUUUGAGAAAUAGAAACCAUCGGCCUAGAAAUCUUUUUUUUGGUUAUGUGCUCAACGCAGUUCUUGGAUUUAUUUGGGUUUUUAAAAAUAAAUAUAAUUCAGUAGUGUGAUUUUGGUCUUUUUUGGUUGCAUAGUGUGAUAGUUUUCUUUUCUCAAAUGGGUUUGUUUCUGGGGUUUUAGAAAUUUAAAAUCGUAUUAACAUUUUUUUUUUUGUUCCAAUGGAAAAUAAAAAUAAAGUGAGGGAGGCUAUGCUGUUGAGUGAGGUUUCAAAUGGGUAAUAAAGUGAGGGCACUAUGCUGCUGAAUGAGGUUUCAUAUUGCUCUGAUUAUGCUGCUGAAUGAAGUUUCUGUUUAUUUUCUUUACUUGUUUGUAUGGUCUUGGUUGUUUUGGUUUUCAGAAUUUUAGGAUAAGGUUCUAUCUGUCCUAACUUUUUUAGGUGUUCAACUUAAUAAUGCAUCUCAGUUUUUGAUUUUCAGAUAACAUUCAGGUGCAUAUAAUACAUGACAAAAUUGUGAUUUCUUUAUGCUGUUCUCUUCAAUCUUCUGAAUUUUUAUGUUUGAUUUGAGUUAUUGUUAAUUUGAAAAGUUUUGAAUUGGGAUCUAAAAAAUCAACCUUAGCAAGUCUAUUACACGGUAACAGGAGAAUUAAUUCUUUUUGUUUCAUUUGUAUGAUUAUCAUGCUCAUGGUUAUGGUGAUUGGUUGAAAAAUCUUAUAUGAUGAUGAUGUUGUUUAUAUAAUUCUAGCUUUGGUAAAUAUACUAGUAAUUUUUAAGAACUAGUUUAAUUUUUAGAAUCUUGUUUUCACUCAGCCUGUUGCCUGUUGCCUCAGGUGGAAUGCCUUUCUCCUUUGACAAGACUAAUCCUCUCUAACUCUAACCUGAACUUCUGCUUUCUUCAUCUCAUGCUGUUGCUGCUGCUAUUGCCACAUUGUCUCAUGGAAGCUAGAACACAACCAAUGUCUAGCAUGUAAUUGAAAAGAAAAGUAAAGAAAGGUAAAUUUUUUGUAUUUUUUUAAAAGCAAAAAUCAGAGUUGUUGGGUUUCUGGAUUGUGGAGGCACUAUAAAUAAAGGAUUGGAAGAGAAGAAUCCAAAGCUCUACAUUGACAUGGAGGUCAGUAUUGAAUUCCCUAGUCUAUGCUAUUGCUUUUGCUUAGUCCAAAAUGAUAGAUUGUUUACUUAUUUAUUUUCUCUGGGUUUGGUAUCUAUAUUCAGAAACGAGGAGUUGAUGCUGGACCUAUUGACCUGGACCAGGCUACAGUGACCUUUGAACCGGAUCAGGGCGGAGGUGGGGGAUUACAUGUUCCUGGGAAGGAUAGAGUAGUUUUCAGACCUCCUCAGAGGAAAUCACUAUUAGGUAUUUUAUAAAAUUGAGAUGUCUCUCUCUUAGGAAGUGAAACCCCCUUCUUUUUGAAAUUGAGAAAAGAAAUAAAUUAAACCUAGUAUUGCCUUGUUGGCUUUCUUGUUGGAAAAUUGUAUCUUUUUUUUUCCAGCAUGAGAGGCAAAUGCUUCCCCAUGUUUCUUUAUUUUCUAGUCCCAUGUCUUUUGUUGACUUUGUUGGAGAACUUAUACUUUUAUCUAUGCAUUGGAUUGGAACUAGGCUGAGGGAUUGUGGGUGCUCGUUCAUUUCUCCCUUUCUUCUUGUGUUCCUGUACAUUUUAUUGUUUUUAAAGGUCCUCUCAUCUUUCUUUGUAGAUUAUUCUUUUAAUCAAUACAAGUAUAAUUUCUUAUCCUCAUAAAACAUACAGUUUGUUGAACAGUAGAACUGAGCCAAACCAAACCUAGUUUAAAAAACUUGGUUGGUUCCGUUCCAGUUGAAAUACAUAGGAAGUUGUUUCAUUAAUAAGUAUUUUGAUUAUUUGCUUCCUGAUAUAUAUUUUUUGAAUUUUUUUUUAUAGGUAAGCUUACUGAUAUGUAAAAUGAAAUGUAAAAUUAAUUGGCUAAACAACCAAGCCCAUUUGAUAAUGAGAGGUCAAGCACUUGGGAAGCCCAAAUAUUGGGAAAGGAAGUUUCUCAUGCAUUUGUUGAGGAGAAAAUCAUUUCCACCCUUUAUGGGUUUUUUAUUUAUUUUUAUUUUUAAUAUUUAAUAAUAGGCUUCUAGAGUGAAUUGUAGGUUGCCAGGUCCUCUCUCUAUAUUAAUGAUUAUGCCUUUUGGCCUCCCUCUCUAGUCAUUGCAGUGUCUGGAACUUGAUGCAUCUUGUUCCUUGUUAAUUUUGGAGUUAAUGGUCUCUUUUACCUAGUCUCUAACCAUCUUAGUCAACUUGCCCCCUUCAACUGCUGGUGCUUUAAGGACUUGCAAAAUGUGUUGCAAGACUUAGAACUUCAGAUUGAAUGGAGCAACAGUUUUGAAUAAUUUGUCCUUGUGUGCCUCCUGAGAUUCUUUCCCCUUUGUUUAAGAUUUCAUUGUAAAAGUUAGUAAACUAAGGCCCCUCUGUCCCUUUGCUUGCAAAUCUUACAAGCAUAAUGUAUGAAAAUUAUUUUAUAUUUAUUUUAUUACUUGACAAUCAGUAUGUGGCUAUUGAAACAGGGUUAGAUGUCCUUGCUGAUGCAAAAAGAGGAGGAUCUAAGGCUGAUGGCGCAUUCAAGGUUCCAAGAGAAAAAGGUGCUUCUGUUGUGGCUUCUAUGGAUGAAGAGGAGAGUUCCUUGUCCUCUGGAAUAGACGAAGAAAUAAGUACUGUGAUUAGUGGUGUGCGUAAUGGUUCUGGCAGGCGAUAUCGUGAAACAGCUGCAAGCGAGGCAUCUCAUUUAGGUACCUUUUCUUAAAAACAUUUUAAAAGAAUUUUUGGCUUCUGGUAACUGCUGUUAGCUAUUCUGACUUGAUGAUUGUUAAUCAUAUUGGCAAUUCAGUUUAUGUUAUCAGUCACCUUAAAAGGCUAGAUUUUAAUCAAAUAAUAACUAUGAUUUUCAUUCUGUUGGAAGUCAAUAUGCUCAUUGGACUCUUAUGGAUAUUAUUUUUUGAUCAGAACUCUUAUGGAUAUUAUUCAAAUAAUGAAUUGCAUAAGUUCACAUAUUCUGGAAGUUUAGGCCCUCACAGACUAAGGAGAUAAUGCCCAUGUGGUCAUGAUGUACCAAAAUUUUGUCUUUCUAAAAUAUAUUUCUCCAUCCUGAGAUCAUCUGCAAACUGUUUAUAAUGAAAGGACAGUUAUGAGCAUCAUUAAAUGCUAGCCAAUCCACAAGUAGUAGUUAUCUUUUUAUGAAGGCUUAUCUGGAAUUUUGUUUACAUUCUAUUUUAUGAAAAACUAUGUUUAGAUUUAAAGAAGUAUAUACACUGGAUACCAAAAAGCUAAUACACUAAAUAUGGCUGCAAAAAAAGAAAAAGAAAAAAAAACGGAAAAAAAAAAGAACACUUUGGAAAUUGCAAGUGGGAUAUAGAGAUGCCUAAAAUCACUCUCACAAGGGUAUUACAAGCCAUUGACCCAUUAUUUGCUUACUGAAAAUCAUAGUGGGGUAAAACUAUCCACAACCGGGGACUUUGGGGGUGCUAUGCUCUGGAAUAGUAAUUGUUGUCUGAUCAACAUAACUUGAUUCCUGAAGGAUGUAUUUGAGGGGUGACAUUCUCCAUAUCAUGGAACAGAAUAUGCAGGAUUUUGUUUUUCAUAUGUGAAUGCUGGACAUGAUUUUUCACAGUUAGGGAAAGACAUGGAGUGGGGGUGUGGAAGGCAAUCAGGAGCAGAUGAGAGAUUUUUAACAGCAAAAUCAGUUUCAGGGUGGGAAAUGGGAGGAGGGUGAAAUUUUAGGAGGAUAAGUGGUGCAACGACUUACCCCUUGAAGAGGUUUCUCCUACAUUGUAUUCCAUAGCUAUUGCCAAGGAUGCUUGGGUAGCUGAUGUGUGGGAGUAAGAGAGGUAUGGUGGUUUAUGGAACCCUCAUUUUUCAAGAUGGCUCUGUGAUUGGGAGCUAGGUGGGAUGGAGGAUCUCUUUUGGAAGCUUCAAGAGUAGAUAAUUUGCAAAGAUGUAGAGGAUAAAAUGGUUUGGUUGAACUUGAAGGGUGGUAUUUUCAGUAAAAUCUCAUUACUCUUCUUUGUCCAGCGGUAGAAUGGGGACUUCCCCCUCUUGUCUUGUAUGGAACCCCUAGAUGGCUAGAUCCCAUGGAGAGUUAGGUUUUUUGCUUGGGAAGUUGUAUGGUGAAGGAUUUUGACACUGGAUCAAUUCAAUAGAAGGGGGUGGAAGAUGCCAAAUAGAUGCAACUAGCCUACAUGUGCAAAGGAGGAGAAGAAACAAUUAACUAUAUUCUCUUUCACUGUUCAAAAGCAGUCAUUUUGUGGUAAUUGAUUUAUGCUCUCUUUGGAAUAGAGAUCAUGCAAUCCUUUGUAUGGAAAGCAUUGUUGGACAAACAUGGCUCCUUUGUGGGGAAAAAGACGUAGAAAGUUGGAAAGUUGCUCUUUUAUGCCUUUUUUGGACCAUAUGGAAAGAGAAAAAUGGGAGGACGAUUGAGAAUAUUGAAAAAGCGCACAGAAAGAAUAGGGGAAGUAGUGAGUGAACCAUGAAACCUGGAGGUAGAUGCUGGUUUGGUGUUGAGAAGAAAACUUUUGAGAUUAACAUAGAAGAGCAGAAAGGGAGAGUGCGUGGGAAAAUCUGUGAGAGAGGCCCUAAGUCUUCUUCAUGGAUAAGAUUUGGAGGGAAAAGUCUAUCUUUGUUGCUUGAAGGGGUUGAGACUUGCUGUGUGCUACAGGAAAGAACUCCUUUCAAGAAGUUUUGGUCGGAAGGGGAUAGAAACUAUAGCCUGGAACUGCGAAGCAACAAAGCAGGGAGAUUCCUGUUUUGCGUUGUAAGGGAUGUGGAGAACAAAAGGUUCUCCUUGGCUUUUCCAGAAGGUGGGGGGCUCGUUGGAGGCUGGAAUCUGCUCGUCAGUAAACUGAAAAGCUUGGGUGUCUCUCCCUUUCAAUGGAAAGGUGCUCUACCUCAAGCUCUGCCUAACAGAGGAGUGGACAGAGCCUCCAUCCCCCUUCGGGUUUGUCCCGCGCCCCGCGAUGCUGUCUGGUUAGAAGCUGAUAAAGAAUCUCUCGUGAGAAAUGAGGAAAUGCUGGAUAGGUGUCUGAUAGGCCUUUGGAAGGGAGACUCGGACCGCCUCCCUGAUCCCGUUUCCUUCGGGGCUUGGGCGAAAAAUACCUGGCUCCUAGAAGGGAACCUCUGGCUGUCUAACAUGAGGGAAAACCUAUUGUUUUUGGAAUUUGAGUUUGCGGACGAAGCUGAGAGGGUGCUUAAUUUAGGGGAGAAAAGCUUUAGAGGAAGAAGCUUCCACCUUGAAAAAUGGAAGCCUUCAGUGGGCUGCCUUAAGGAAGACAACGGGGAUUCGCGCCUUGUAUGGGUCAAAAUUUUAGGUCUCCCCCUGCACCUAUGGGGAAGAAGCCUAUUCAAGAGGUUUGGGGACUCUUGUGGAAGAUUUGUGGCUGUGGAUGAAAACACAGCCGAACGUCGGAAUCUCAAGUGGGCCAGGAUCCUCAUCGAAACCAGAGACUGGCAUCACCCAAGUUCUCUGCAAGUGGUCGCCGACUCCUCUUGUUUCGCUCUGCAGCUCUGGUGGGAAGAAGAACCCCGCAUCUCCACUGUGCUCCCUUCCCAGGGGUCUGGUGUUUGGAAGCGCAAGGAUGACGAAGGGUCCCACUCACGCGCCGAGGGGAGCGUGGGCUUUCCGCCCUCUUCCUCAGCCCCUUCGCAGCCUGAAAAGCCGCCCCCGCAGCCUGAAAAGCUGCCUCCGCAGCCUAUAAAGCUGUCUCCGCCGGCUUUGGGGAGAGACGACGCCUCAGACAAGUCAAUGUCAACUGCCCACCAGGCCCUUGCCUGCGAUUUGGAUUUGGGCCUUGGUCUGGACUCCUCGGCCCACCCGAACCUGGCCUGCCCCAUUGGGCCUGGGCUAGGGAAGGCCCAGUCUCUGGGAAACACUUAUAUACCCCUUGGCCCAAUUUCUUCCAGUGACUUAGGGCUGGGAACCCCUUCCCGCUCCCCGCGCCGGAGGAGAGGACUCUCCGCUGAGAGCCCCCAGUUGGAAGCGCCGUCCCAUUUGGAAGUAACGUCGGCAAAUGACCUCCCUCCCACUGCCGAAGGCCGCAAUCUUCAAGGUAUGCUCUUGCCCCCUCCACCCCCCUUGAAUGGGAUGCCUUCUUCUCCUUCUUCUACUCCAUUCUUGGUUACGGGAUCCGAGAGGGAAAGGGGAUGCUCUGGACAGUCGGAUCCGACGUCAAGAGAGACUGAAGAGACGCCGAUUCCUCUGUCCUUGAUGCUUAGAGAUGGGUCGACAGUGGUCCUGAGGCCCGAUUUUGCGGCGAAGCAGAAGGACCACAUGGAUAUCUCCCCGCGCGAAGAAGUUUGGUCAGAGGAGGAGAUUUCCAAUCUCUUCCAUUUUAGCAAAGUCUUGGGAAUGCCUGUCGAAGGACACGAGGUUGAAAUUCUGAAUUUACUUGAGAAAUUGAAGCUGAGGACGGGAAAUAGCACCCUUUGCAAGCGACGAAAGAAGAAAAAAUCUUGCACCACCCGUUUCGAAAGAGAGUUAAAAAGGUUGGAAUGCUCUGUUAGUUAUGGGGAGACUUCAGGGUUAGCCAAAAAGUCCGGCCACAAUUCCUGGGAUUUGGUUCCAGUUGACUAAUGAGAAUUAAAAUUCUCUGUUGGAAUGUUCGUGGGCUUAAUGACUCAGAGAAAAGAAAGUUGAUCAAGGGCGUGGUAAGGAACCAAAAACCAGAUUUGGUUUGCCUUUUGGAGACGAAGGUGAAAGAGAUGUCUCAGCAAAUGGUCAACAGUGUGGGCAUUGGAAGAUUUCUUAAUUGGGCCUCUGUAGAUGCUAGGGGUGCGGCAGGAGGUCUCCUGCUCCUCUGGGACAACAGAGUAUUGGAGAACUUGGAGGUAGAAAGAGGGGGGUACUCUAUCUCUAUCCGUUUCAGAAACUGUGUCGAUGGUUUCACUUGGAUUUUUUCUGGGGUAUAUGGGCCGGUGAUUAGCAGUGAAAAGGAGGAUUUUUGGGAGGAACUUAGUGCCUUCCGUGGCCUCUGGGAGGACCCCUGGUGCUUAGGAGGGGACUUCAAUGCUGUUAGAUUCCCAGAGGAAAGAAGGAACUCCCUUAGGCUCACAACUGAAAUGAGAAGAUUCUCAGAGGUUAUAGGGGAAUUGGGGCUAAAGGAGCUUCCUCUGGCUGGAGGCCCUUACACUUGGAUAGGGGGUUUGAACUCUCAAGCUGCCUCUAGACUGGACCGUUUUCUGUUUUCGGACCAGUGGGAAGACCACUUCUCCGCCAUCACCCAAGCUGCUCUCCCUCGUUUGAUUUUUGACCAUAGUCCUAUAGUCCUUCAAGCUGGAGGAUUCUCCUCAGGCAAAAGCCCUUUCCGGUUUGAAAAUAUGUGGCUAAAAAUUGAUGGUUUCCAAGACCUAGUCCGAAGCUGGUGGAAUGGGUAUUCUGUUGAUGGUUCUAGUAGCCACUGCAUUGCCGAGAAGCUCAAGGCGCUCAAGAAGGACUUGAAGAACUGGAACAAGGAGGUGAUAGGCAAUGUCUCUCUCAAUAGAGCAGAAGCCUUCUCUCGCCUGCAGCGUUGGGAGUCCAGGGAGAAUGACGGCCCCCUCACUGCUAGCGAAGUAGAGGCUAAAAAUCAAGCUCUUGAGGACUACAAGAAAUGGGCUCUGUUGGAAGAAACUUCUUGGAGACAGAAGUCAAGAGAAAUUUGGCUAAAAGAAGGCGACAAGAACACCAAAUACUUCCACAAAAUGGCCAAUGCUAGGGCAAGGAAGAACUUCAUGUCUAAAAUUAGAAUAAAUGAGGUCACUCUCUCUUCUAGUGAUGACUUAAAAGAAGGCGUUUGUAGGGCCUAUAAAUCCCUCCUCUCAGAACCAGGGGAUUGGAGGCCUAAUAUCAAUGGCCUUAACUUCAAGGAGCUGGGAGAAGGCUUGGCCAGAAGCCUAGAAGUUGAGUUUUCUGAGGAGGAAAUCUAUGCAGCCCUAAGCAGCUGCUGUGGCAACAAAGCUCCAGGCCCGGACGGUUUUACAAUGGCCUUUUGGUUGUUUUGCUGGGAUGUUGUCAAAUCAGAAAUUUUGGAGCUCUUCAGAGAGUUUCACCUCCAUGGGACCUUCCAGAGAAGUUUGAACUCCACGUUUCUUUUGCUCAUUCCCAAAAAGGAAGGGGCUGAAGACCUAAGAGAAUUCAGACCAAUCAGCUUGGUAGGGAGUGUAUACAAACUACUAGCCAAAGUCCUUGCUAAUAGGCUGAAAUCAGUGAUGGGAGAGGUGAUAUCUGAUUCGCAGCAAGCUUUCGUCCAUGGGAGACAGAUUCUAGACGCUGUUCUUAUCGCCAACGAAGCCCUUGAUUCUAGAUUAAAAGACAACGUGCCGGGCCUCCUCCUUAAAUUGGACAUUGAGAAGGCUUUUGACCAUGUAAAUUGGAACUUCCUCAUAGAUGUGAUGUCUAGAAUGGGAUUUGGGCACAAAUGGAUCAAUUGGAUGAAAUGGUGUUGGUCCACGGCCUCAUUCUCGAUCCUCAUCAAUGGGUGCCCCACGGGCUUCUUCCGUAGUUCUAGGGGAUUGAGGCAAGGCGACCCUCUCUCCCCCUACCUCUUUCUUUUUGCCAUGGAAGCUCUUAGCCAGCUGCUGUCACGUGCAAGAAAUGAGGGCUUUUUUUCUGGCUUCAAAGUGGGAGGAAGAGGCAGAGAGGGGCUGAUCGUUUCCCAUCUCCUAUUCGCCGAUGAUACCUUAAUCUUCUGCGACGCCGAUGCAGUUCAGUUGCAAUACCUUAGCUGGACCUUCAUGUGGUUUGAGGCGAUUUCAGGGCUAAAAGUCAAUUUGAGCAAGUCUGAGGCCAUCCUAGUGGGGGAGUGCCCCCCCAUGGAGUCCCUCGUCUCAAUUUUGGGAUGUAAGAUUGGAUGUUUACCUACUUCCUACCUGGGUCUUCCCCUUGGAGCCCUCUACAAAUCCACUAGUGCGUGGGAUGCAGUGGAAGAAAGAUUCAGGAAAAGAUUGUCUCUCUGGAAAAGGCAAUACCUUUCCAAAGGUGGCCGUCUAACCUUAUUAAAAAGCACCCUCUCUAGCCUCCCAACCUACUUUCUCUCUCUCUUUGUGAUCCCGAAGAGAGUUUGUGCAAGACUCGAAAAAAUCCAAAGGGAUUUCUUAUGGGGAGGGGGCGCUUUAGAAAACAAACCUCACUUGGUGUGUUGGAAGGUUAUUUGUGCCGCUAAAAAGGAUGGAGGCUUGGGCAUACGCAACCUAGCUAUUUUUAAUAAGGCCCUUCUUGGUAAGUGGUUGUGGAGAUUUGCCAAUGAGAACGACUCCCUUUGGAAGCAAAUUAUCUCUAGUAAAUAUGACCUUCAAGAUGGGGGAUGGUGCUCAAAAGGUGGUAGAGAUCGCUAUGGGGUGGGUGUUUGGAAGGCCAUCAGAAACGGUUGGGAAGACUUUCGAUCUCACUCCCGCUUUCUUGUAGGGGAUGGCACCAGAGUGAAGUUUUGGAAGGACUUGUGGUGUGAAAAUCAAUCUCUGGAAGAAGCUUUUCCCAUCUUAUUUAAUCUCUCAGUCAACAAAGAAGGCUUGGUUGCUGAGGCCUGGGAGGAGGACGGAGCUGGGGGUAGCUGGGGACCUCGUUUCAACAGACACCUCAAUGAUUGGGAGGUGGGAGAAGUGAAAAACUUAUUAAGCAAGCUUCAUCCUUUGGCUAUUAGAAGAGGUGUGGAUGACUCGCUCAGGUGGAAAGCAAAUAAGAAUGGGACCUUCUCUGUUAAGUGUUUUUAUAGCUCACUCUCAAUGGGCAUCAACCACCCCUUCCCAGUCAGUACUAUCUGGACGUCCUGGGCUCCAACCAGGGCUAGUUUCUUUGGUUGGGAGGCGGCUUGGAACAGACUACUCACCACUGAUCGCCUAAAGAGAUUUGGUUGGAACAUCCCCAACAGGUGCUUCUUGUGUAAAAAUGAGGAGGAGUCUAUUGAUCACCUUCUCCUGUUUUGUGAGAAGGCCAGAAUGUUAUGGUAUCUAACCUUCUCCCUUUUUGGGGUGCAAUGGGUGAUGCACUCCUCUGUGAAAAGGAAUCUCCUGGGAUGGUAUGGAUCUUUUGUGGGCAAGAAAAGGGAGAAAGCAUGGAAAACUGCCCCCCUUUGCCUAAUGUGGACUAUUUGGAAAGAAAGGAAUAGAAGAGCCUUCGAUGAUGUGGAAAGAAACGAUCAAGAUAUCAAAUCCAUUUUUUUGUACACUUUUGUGAAUUGGGCUAGGGUAUAUAUUAAGGAUCAUACUUUAUCGUUGUUUGAUUUUGUAAACUGGUUAGCCACCAAGUAAGGGUCAGAACCUUUUGUUUCUUGAUCCUUUGUAUCUUGGUAUACUUCGUGUAUACUCUCUUUAGCCUUUUGGCUUUUAAUGAAUUUCCUUUAUCUAUCAAAAAAGAAUAUUGAAAAAGCGCAGGAAACUAUCAAACAAUAUUUUAUGUUUAAUUUUUAGGAAUGGGUGAAGGUGUAUGUAGAAGAUUGCCCUUUGUCCAUCUUACACUUUGUUGAUUGGUUGAGCUCUAGCCUCUAGGUAGUGGGUGGUAGCUGGUUUUUUUUUUCUUUUUCUUUUCUUUUCCCCGUUUACUGUGACUAUGUGGGGCCUUUUGGUACCCUUGUAUACAUCAUGUAUUGUUAGGCAUUGUCUCAUUUGAUGAAUAUAUUUUUCUUUGUCUAUUAAAAAAAAAAAUCAAAUAGGUGGACUAGAGCUUCAAUUUUUUAGGAUUUAAGGAGGGAAACAAGAAAUAAAUUCUAGCAACAGGCAAAUAAGAAACCUUAGUCGCCAUCUUUUGGCACUUCUAAUGCAAGCCCUUUAUUUACCUAUUAAGAAAAAAAAAAAA